AAACCCUAGAUCUAAAUAACAUUGAAACAACGUUGUUCAUCAUCUUCCUCACUGAGCUCGGUCCUCAACUCGCCUGGAACUCAGGCGAGUUCACUCAAAUGGGACCCCUCCCCUCCACGUCAUUUUAUUCCCAACGGUUUUUGUCAAAGUGGAACGAAUAUUCUCUCCGAAUUUUGCACGAUUUCUGUAUGAUAGAACGAUUUGCUAGAUGAAUGGGAGCCGUGGAUGGAUGUAAAUCGAUCCAUGUCUUCCAUUUGUCCCAAAAAUCAUUAAAAACGUGAAGAUUUUCGGAUAUUUAGGCAGAAACUUCGAGAUUUUUUGAGGGUUAUAUAUAUGAGGUAAGUAUUCUUUUUCAAGGUUAAGGAAAAAUCAGAAAAAUCUAGGGAAAAUUUUCAGAAACUUAGUGAUGGAAUUUCUAGGGUUUUGAAGUUUCUCCCUUCUCUUCACCCCUUUUUCUUUUUCGGUCAGGCAUUUUUUAGAAAACAAAAAAUAUACAAAAACAUAGUUUGAAUUUUGGUUUUAUACAAAAAAUUUUGUUUCAUUUCGAAAGGGAUUAAAGUUUUAUAAAUCUCAGCAUUUUUCUUGGAUCUUUGGUUUUUUCAAGAAUGGUUUGUGAUUGAGUUUGUGGCUGGGAUUUGGAAUUUGGGUGUUGUGGAUUACUGUUCGAGUUUUUUUUUUGCUACAAUCUGGUCUUGGCUGAACUUUGCUGAGCUCCAGAUUAGUCGUGGAAACUCUUGUUGUUCAGAAAAUUAUUUUCUGAUUUUUCUUUGACUAUUGGAGACCAGCUGCUGUUUUCUUCUUGAUCUUGCUCGACCUUUAUUUGGUCUGAUUCUUUCUCUUAUUCUGUUUUCUAGGUAAACAUCUACUACCUCAUGUUGUUGGUUUUAUUGAUGUAUUAAAGAUUGUGAUGAGAUGACAUUGUUUGUUUAUCCGGCAAGAUUGUGUUUAAACUAGCUUGAAUGGUCAUUUGAUUUUAACAAUGGAAGAAUUAAAAAAUGUUCUUGGCUCUGUUGUGUUGUUUCGUGUUUCUAAAACUCAUAGCUACACACACACACUCAUUACAUUUAGUCAUUCAUAUGGUUUUCUAAGGUUAUUGUGUUGAUUUACUGAAAAGUGAGAUGAAGCCUUAUAAUUUUAAGUCGGAUUUUUAAGCUGAUGAAUCUAGAUGGAGGGUCUAAAUUGUUUUACUUCCCUCAUCAAGACAUAACAGAAUAUAUGUGUGUUUGGUUUUAGGUUCGGUUAAUCACUUCUUCUCCCUUUCUUAUCAGCUAUCUCUCCUAUUAGAACCCAUUCAUAUAUAAAAAGGCUCUUGUGUAAUUGUUCUGUUGCAUUUCUUCAUUUCUAUCCCAACCUAUAAUGCAGUCUAAUUUGGUAAAAAUGUAUGUUUAGAGCUGUUGGUAUUUGGAGUUUCCAUAAGAAGUGUACAUGCUAUCCUAUGCCUUUGUUGUCAUAGAUUCUUUUGGACAUUUUACAUGAGACGAGCUGAUCCUGAAUCUAGGUGUGUUCCUUAAAUAGAAAAGUAUCCAGGGGUUGUUUGAAUGUACGUGAUGUAUUAGAUUUUUUUUUAGAAAUUGGUUAUUUUUUGAUUUGGUUAGAUCUUUGCCUUGGCUAUUUCUUGUUUUAAAAGGUUCUAUAAGUUACCUAAAGUAGGUUCAGAAGUAAGAGUAUGUUUGAAUUCAUGUUCUAGCCCUAUGUUAGUUGACAGGUUUUUGCUGAAGAAAUGCAUCAUGUAUAGUUGACAAAUAGCUCCUCCUACUUUGUUUACUGUUGAACACUUUUAGUUUCUUUGUGAAUUGGAAUCCAUGUGUAGUGUCAGGAAAAUGUUGUUUCAUCUAGUAAGUUUGAGAUUGAAAUCAAUUGAAAUAUAUUAAAAAGUGAAGUCCCAGACUAUUUGUUGCUUGUUGCUCAUUGAUUGUGUGUGGAUGUAAGGCCUGUACAAUUUGUUUACGAACGACCCAGAGCAAUAAUUUUUUUGGGCCUCAGCAAUCAUCUUUCUUUUGGCCUGUGUUGGGUUUAAUUGUUUGACUUGCAUCUAGGCUCAAUUCUGAGCCUAAUGAGUGAUAAUGCCCAUCUCAUUUAAAAAAAAACGUGCAUUGAUACACUGGGUCUGCCGUUGGCCCGGUUCCCACCUCGAUCAGUUUAGGCCUGUUUGCUUUGCUUUGCACAUUAAUCAAGGGCUUGAGCCCAAGUUUGGAUGCAAAUAACCUUAUGUUUAAUUAAGUAUAAUCCCUUUAAAAUGGUUGGAGGCGUGCCAUUUUUCAUUAAAAUUACCCAUGCCCUCUUAUUAGCAACACAAAAUUUAGAAGUAAUUAAUUCUUUAAAUACCCGUAGUUUGCUUUAGAUGCGCAAUUAAAUUAUUACGACUAUGUGUACGGUUUCCGUGACGUGGUUGUGAUAAUUAGUUUUAAAUUAGGUUAAAAUAAGAGUACCUUUAGAUUGCCUUUAAAAUAUAUACCCCUUUUCCUAAAAUAAUUUGAGGUGUGCCAUGUUUAAAACUCAUAAUAUAUGACCCUCACAAAUUUAAUUCAAGAGUUUAAUACUUCUAAAAUCGAGGUGUGCCAUCAAUUUAACUCUCCCUGGACCUCACAAUUUUUUUUAUUAAUUUGAACCUUCGUAGUUGCUUUAGGCGCGUUCUUUAAUUAAUUCCAUCAUAGCUAUGGGUGCGGUUCCCGUGACGUAGUUGUGAUUUCUUUUAAAAUUCCAGGUGUACAUUUCAUGUAACCCAAGUUCAAUUCCUCAACAAUGUUAAAUGAAACUUGUUGCGAACCGCGGGUGCAUUUCAUGUAGCGUGGUUCAACGUGUGUUUUAAAUAACGUUGAAUCUUCCUAAAAUUGUUUUAAAAUAAUUAAAAGCAGUUCUAAAGCUAAUAAUGCACAAUAGGUUAAAAAAUGUAGUAAAUCAGAUAAUAGGCCAAUUUUAAUAGUUUAAGCGACCGUGCUCGAACCACGGAACCCGGGAAUGCCUAACACCUUCUCCCGGGUUAACAGAAUUCCUUAUCUAGAAUUUCAGGUUUCACAGACUUUUUUUGAUAAAAUCGAAUUUUCCUCGAUUUGGGAUUUAGAAUAAACUGGUGACUUGGGACACCCUAAAUUAAUCCAAGUAGCGACUCUGUAAUAAAUAAAUAAUCCCAUUUCGAAUAAUGUCACUUUAAUUGGAAAAACUCCCUUAUGUACCCUCGGGUGUAAAAAAGGAGGUGUGACAGCUCUGGCGACUCUGCUGGGGAUUUAAACCCAGAACUUUGGUUCAGGGUUCAAGAAUUCGAGCUUAGAAUAACUGUUAUAUUUGGCCUAUUUUUAUCUGAUUUUUACAUGUUGAGCCUAAUGUGCUAAAUGCUGCUUUUUACCGCUUUGAUAUUGUUUGGACUGUAUAUAAAUUGCUACGAAACCCUCUUCUCUCUGAGUCUUCUAAAUCAUCUAGUAAGUGUACACUUCAUGUAACUUCUUUUUUGUUAGAGUCAUAUCCCAAUUUUAGAACGAGGUUCGGAUAAGUUGCAAAGCCGGUGAAGCUUUUGUAUUCCCGGUACGUUGCCGCUCUCGGCUCUAGUUGUCCGCUCGAGUAAGCCAGGUCUAGAACAAUACACCCAAGUUUUUAAACCUAAUAUAACAAAGCCUCAUGCCGGAUCCCUAGUAGGAACGCUUGUUUGCAUCACGUGCAUUUGACUUUGGAGACUUAACAUAUGGGUUGGGUCUGUCUAGGACAUGUGUACCUGAAAUGAAAAGAGCAUCCUGAUGUAUUCUACCUGCGACUUGUGCAUUUAUUUGCUUUGGAUUGCAUGUUGACCGGCUUAUGAAUAAUGGAGAAAAGUUGGGAAAAUNNNNNNNNNNNNNNNNNNNNNNNNNNNNNNNNNNNNNNNNNNNNNNNNNNNNNNNNNNNNNNNNNNNNNNNNNNNNNNNNNNNNNNNNNNNNNNNNNNNNNNNNNNNNNNNNNNNNNNNNNNNNNNNNNNNNNNNNNNNNNNNNNNNNNNNNNNNNNNNNNNNNNNNNNNNNNNNNNNNNNNNNNNNNNNNNNNNNNNNNNNNNNNNNNNNNNNNNNNNNNNNNNNNNNNNNNNNNNNNNNNNNNNNNNNNNNNNNNNNNNNNNNNNNNNNNNNNNNNNNNNNNNNNNNNNNNNNNNNNNNNNNNNNNNNNNNNNNNNNNNNNNNNNNNNNNNNNNNNNNNNNNNNNNNNNNNNNNNNNNNNNNNNNNNNNNNNNNNNNNNNNNNNNNNNNNNNNNNNNNNNNNNNNNNNNNNNNNNNNNNNNNNNNNNNNNNNNNNNNNNNNNNNNNNNNNNNNNNNNNNNNNNNNNNNNNNNNNNNNNNNNNNNNNNNNNNNNNNNNNNNNNNNNNNNNNNNNNNNNNNNNNNNNNNNNNNNNNNNNNNNNNNNNNNNNNNNNNNNNNNNNNCGUGCAUUUGACUUUGGAGACUUAACAUAUGGGUUGGGUCUGUCUAGGACAUGUGUACCUGAAAUGAAAAGAGCAUCCUGAUGUAUUCUACCUGCGACUUGUGCAUUUAUUUGCUUUGGAUUGCAUGUUGACCGGCUUAUGAAUAAUGGAGAAAAGUUGGGAAAAUCAAUUUGAAGGCUGAGAGAAAUACUUACCUGUGUUUGAAAAACCCGGUAUCCAAAAGGUACCAAAACUAUGCCGAACUUUUGAAAAAAAAAAGAAAAUUUGUUUCAAGAAAAAAUAUUUGGUAUGGUUUUUAUUAUGUCAAAACUGCCCAAACUACCCAAGUUUGAUUCUCACCGGAUGUGGUAUACGUAGGCAACCCUCACCAGGUCCAACUCCGUUUUUGCAAAAAUAACCCAAAAAGAACAAAAAUUUUGUUUGUUUUGUCAUAAAUAAAUUAGGUAAUGUCGUUCUUGUCUAAAUGGCCAAAACAUUCCCAAAAGGACGCCGGAAGUCUGCUUUUGCAAGAAUAGCCACAUUCGGUUCCUUUUUCAAAUAUUUGCCAAUUAACAACAUAGCCCUAAAAUCUUCUUCCUUGAGGUGCUGAAGGGUCGUAUUUACAAAGGCGUUCCUUGUUUUGAAAUGAAUUUUUUUUGAAAACUAAUAACUUUUUCUUAAGUCAAAAUAAACCAUGAUCUUUUAACCAAUCACUCUAAUAAAUGUGCAGGAUGAGCACAAUUGAAAAUGAACCCUUUACAGUCCUUGAAGAAAUCCCAUUAGGACUCCACAUGUGGUGGAAUGACUUACAAAAAGUCAGCAGAGUUACUGUGGUAAAAGUUUUGGGCGGUCUUGUUGGUCUUCUGAAAAUCAAACCGAGGUUGGAUAUGAUUGAGGCUUUGAUAUCUUUUUGGGACCCGGCGCAUAGUGUAUUCCAUUUUUCUAAUAUUGAGCUAACCCUCAUGCUUGAGGAAAUAGCGGGCUAUGCCGGUCUUAAUGGGAAUCUCAGAAGUCGGUACCCAGUAGCACCAAGAACAGUGACUCCUCAUAAGUUUUUGGACCUGCUGAGCAUCAGUCGGGAGGUUCAAGAUGGAAAUCUAUCUGAAGGGUUUUGCACAUUCUACUUCUUGUACCAGCGUUAUGGCAAUCCCCAUGGUUUUAAGGCACCAGAUACUGGCCUAACUCAUUCAGGAAACAAAGGUAAAUGGGAAGCAUGGCGGGGACUGGCUUUUAUAGUGGCAUUCUUGGGUAUUUUAAUUUGUCCAAUAAAACAUGGAAACAUAGAAUUGGGUCUUGUAGGAAUGGCCAACGUCAUGAUUCAGAAAGCUAAUGGCACCCUCGUUCCAAUGAUCUUAGCGGAGAUUUACCGAGCUUUAACUAUCUGCCGAGAAGGGGAAAAAAUUUUCAAGGGCUGUAACAUGCUCCUACAACUUUGGAUACAAGAACAUUUUUGUCACUGCUUGGAGUACAUGAACUAUGACAUGACUGAUUUGAAUUGCAUCAAAGAAUAUGAAAACCGAGUGGUGGGUUGUGAAUUUCCAAAAGGUAUAGAGGCUUGGUUUGCGCAUUUGAGUUCUUUAACUUCGGACAAAAUUGAGUGGACUUUCAGUUGACUCCCUGUCACUGAAGUCAUUUACAUGUCAGCUGAGGUGUGUUAUCUUCUCUUAAUGGGUCUCCAGAUCAUUCAGCCAUACGCUCCACACAGGGUGCUGCGCUAACUAGGCAGGUUCCAAACUAUCCCACAUGACAAAGAUCUGAGCUGACAAGUCAUCGAAUUGGGUCCGAAAGCGGUAUUCCCAGAAGAAAAAGUUCAUUAGAUUUGGAAUAAGUGUAGAUUUCUAGAGCCAAAGACUCGGGUGAGGGAUCUAUCUAAAGGCGAGUUAGACCCUAAUUACAUGACUUAGUUUGGUAAAAGGUUUCAAGUCCCUCAGGAGCCCGAACAGCCUGCUAAAAGACCCCAUGUCCAGCAAUUCACUGACGAUUCGCAGAAGCAAUGAGAUUGGUUAGCAAAAGAGGCAAGCUAUAGGAUCAAGAUAAGCAAAUUGGAGGGACAAAUCAGGGAUCUCAAAUUUGACAAUAGUGUACAAGCCGCUGCUGAUGAAGGGAAAAAGAAGAAACUGGCUCAAGAAAACAAAGCCCUUCGAGCCCAGAUCCAAAAAGUGAAGAUAGCUACGGAGAAUCAGGAAAGAAGCCAAGCAGAUGAAAGGCUCAUAAAAGGUCUUAGAAGGAAAGUAUCUGAAUGUCAGGAUGAAAAUCCGAGGUUAAUCUAGCAAGAGCCCGAGCACAACUGACAAAGAACAUAGAGGGACGGGCGGAGCUUGUAUGGCAAUUGAAAAGGAAAUAUGAGGGAAUAGUCACAAAUUUGAAGAAAAGGCUAACUACCCUCGAAAAUGAGAUGGCCAAACAAGCUAAGAACUUUAAAGCAGAAAGAGAACAUUGAUAUGCCUUAAUGUCCCAGCUAGAGAAAGAUAUGCAACAGCUACAGGGUCAAAACCAUCAUGACACCCAAGUGCUAGAAGCUAGGUCUCAGCAAAUCGGGUGUUUGCUCCAAGAAAAGGGUAUCAUCAGGGAAAGGGUUAGAGCAAUUGCUGUUACAUUGUCAUGAAGUGCCAUGAAUGUGAAGACAUGACUAGAACCACCUUCUUUGCUGUGGUAAUGACCUUUGUUCGCCAAAUAAUGAGUAACCUGGAGCGUCCUCAAGGGGAUCUUGCACAUAGGCCCGUGGCAAGACCGACUGACGUCCCACGUGCCCCUAGAUUAGAAGCACUUAUGUACUGUUGAUUUUUAUUUUUGAGUAUGUACUUCAGUUUUUAGUUUUAAAAUAUGUUUCGAGUUUGUUUGUAGUUUUAAAUUCCUAGAAAGAGUAUGGUGGAGUCUUUUGUAAUAGAGAACAGUAGAGUUUUUGUUAAUGAAAAAUUGGAAAAUCCCAAAAAUUGUUUCCCUAUUUUUUGCAUUUAUUUCUUAAACUACGUGAUGAUCUGAUUCACGCGGCGUCGUGAUACGUAGGCAAUCCUCAUCGGAUCCGGUCAUGAUUUUUGUAAAUAACUCAAGUAAAAAAGGAAUGUGGAAAAGAGAAAGCCAAAAAAAGAAGAAAAUAAGAGUGCAAAAGAGCAAGAGAGAAGAUCGGGGAGAUAAACAAAAGCUGGGAUGAGACAUGCAAUCGUUGCAAAACAUGUAGAAACACAUUUAACUGUAUAGGUGCAUCACACCCCAAUGUGCAAUUCCCUAUGUGUUAAUUGCUUCAAACUAACCAGUUUAUUGUCUGUUAUUGAGUAUAGGUUCUAUUUUUAAGGUGGUUGGUUUAUGGUAACCUGGCUUCACACCCGUACUUCACAAGAUCAAAGGGCAGUGUAGAAAUGUCAUCAGAAGGUCGUCCACCAACGAUUCCCAUCUUAGAGGAUAGCCCACUAUCGAUUAUCCCAACCUCAGAGUCAGCGGAAGCUGAAGAGAAUAUGGCACUAUGCCUCCACGUGCUAGAAAUGUGGGACGCCUGGUCUAAUGGUAGAGAGCCGCCGAGUUCCAUACCCGGUUUCCCCGAGUUACUUCCUAGAGCAAGUGGAAAUUCCAAUGUCCCAAUAAAUUACCCAAAUACCCCACUUGGAUACCCCACCAUCUCAGCUCACUUCACCGAAACACCUUCUGAGGUUCGCCCCCAGAUGGUUUCAGGAGUGGCCUCCAACAUAUUUACCGCACCACCAACAUCAGCUGCGGUGCAACCCACUUUGCCCAGGCCAAGCUUUGAUCCAUCGUCUUUCACCUUCCAAGUACCAUCUUUUCCACCAGAAUCUACCCAGAUCACUACCAAUUCUUACCCUUAACAACCCUGGUACGAGUUUGUCGCGGGAUAGGAGAAGGCUACAAAGAACCUCGAGCAAGAGGAAAUUACCCGAAAAAUAAGGAGCAUGGAACAGAGCCUCAAGAAUAUACAAGGUUUGAGCGGACAAAAGAGUUUGUCCUACGCUGAUCUAUGCAUGUUCCCGCAUGUGCAUUUGCCCCUGGGUUUCAAGACCCCAAAGUUCGAAAAGUAUGACGGGAACGGGGAUCCCAUAGCCCAUAUCAAGAGGUACUGCAAUUAACUGCGAGGGGCAGGCAGAAAAAAAGAGCUACUAAUAGCUUAUUUCGGAGAGAGUCUGGUCGGCAUUGUAUCUGAGUGGUACAUGGACCAAGACAUGUCUCGUUGUCACAUUUGGGACAAUCUAGCUAGAGAUUUUGUCAGGCAAUUUCAGUAUAACAUAGAUAUAGCUCCCAACAGGAAUUCUCUAUCGAAUCUCAAGAAGAAGUCCUCAGAAAGUUUUUGAUAAUAUGUUGUUAAAUGGCGCGAACAAGCGACCAGGGUCAAACCUCUGAUGGAUGAAACAGAAAUGGUGAGUGUCUUUCUACAAGCCCAAGAGGCUGACUACUUCCAGAAUAUGAUGUCUGCAAUGGGGAAACCGUUUGCUGAGGCCAUCAAGAUUGGUGAGAUGGUCGAGAAUAGUCUAAAAACAGGGCGCAUACUAAGCCAAUCUGCCAUAAGAUCUACAUCCCAAGCAAUUCAAGGUGGGUCCGGGGGCGUAGCAAAUAGAAAGAAGAAAGAAGAGGUGGCAAUGGCAGCUUUAAGUCUGAGAAACCCCCGUCCACCCAGAGGUUACUUCCCUCCAAACACCCCACCACAUUAUUAUCCUCAUCAGGAUGUGGCUUAUGCUAUGGCUCCUCAGCCGUACACAAUAAUGAAUGCCCAGCCAUACGCUUGUCCACAACAACAGUUCAACCAAAAUCGAGCUCCAUUUCCUAGAAACAACCCUCCUCACCAAGCUUAGUAUAAUCCCCGGCCUCUACAAAAUAAUUUCCCCUUCAAUGCCCGUGCUCGGGAGCCACCCAGAAGAACAAACUUCACGCCUAUUGGUGAGUCAUACUCUAUCCUUUUCCCUAAACUGGUCCAAAUGGGUCUAUUGCAACCCGUACCCCAGACCAGGCAAAAUCCAAAGUCGCAAUCCUACAGAAUCGGUACUCGAUGUGCUUACCAUUCGGUAGCGGAAGGGCAUGACACUAAAGACUAUUGGACUCUGAAAAGGGUUGUUGAAAAUCUCAUAGAGCAGAAAUGGAUAGUGCUAAAGGAUGAAGAAAUUCCUAAUGUGACCAACAACCCAUUACCGGCUCACAACAACGGACCAGUUAUUGGAAUGAUUUGCAAAGAUAAAGAGUUUGAUCCCGCUUUGAAAGCCAUCAUUGCGAUUGUUGAUGUCGAGAAGAAGCCAAAGGUUGCUGCAAAGCAAGACAAGGGGGAGAAUAAGAGUAAACCCACCCCUCAAAAUAUAGAAAAGACAGUGGAAACCAAAAGUGGGGCAGUACCUCAAAAAGAUGUCAUUCUUUAUGUUCCCCGGGGUCACAGGAAAGAACAAAUGACAUUGAGCCCUCCAAGAAGGUUCGAGCUGAAUAAGGGAUCUAAGAUAUAUGUGCCUAAAGGGACUUAUGUGGUACGUGGGCUAGUAAUUUCACCAAGGCUGAAUGAGCCCGUGGUUAUUGGUCGCGCACCGCAAAAGCCCAUGACAGACCCUGCUGCCGUCCCAUGGAAUUACAACAAGCCGGUAGUAACCAACAAAGGAAAGGGGGUCCUGGGAGAAGCAAAUGAAACUAACCCAGUCGAGAAAUACCUCAAUCUGGAGGAAGUAAAGAGAGCCAAACAAAAACACUUCCGAUCAGAAAUCCAAUUAGUGCCAAAGAAGAAGAAGAGUUCUUCCGUAAAAUGUAAACUAUGGAGUAUGAGGUAAUAGACCAACUCUGAAAGUAUCCUUCACAGGUCUCACUCUUGUCUCUACUGGUAAGCUCAACUGAGCAUCAGAAAGUGUUGAUAAAGACCCUCAACAAAGCUUAUGUUCCAAUUGAAACCACUGUCGAGCAACUGGAGAAGAGGCGGAAAGAUUCUUCGUAGUUAAUCAAAUUUCCUUUAGCAAGAAUGAUUUGCCCCCGGAAGGGGUCGCCCACAACAAAGACCUCCAUCUGAAAGUUAAAUGUGAGGGGUACUAUGUGAAGAGAGUCAUGCUGGAUGGCGGAUCCGGAGUUGAUAUCUACCCUCUCUCAACUUUGCAAGAAUGGAGAUUGGGACUGAGAGAAUCAGGCCUAACAAUGUCUAUGUGCGUGCCUUUGAUGGCAUCAAGAGAGAUACCAUAGGUGAGAUUGACUUGAUCUUGACUAUUGGUCCUGUGGAUUUCGAGGUGAUCUUUUAGGUCCUAGACAUAGACACUUCCUAUAAUUUCCUCUUGGGAAGACCUUGGAUUCAUGCGGCAGGGGCCAUACCUUCCACUCUCCACCAGAUGGCAAAAUUUGAAUAUGAAGACCAGGAAAUUGUGGUUCAUGGAGAAGAUGAGCAGUCAAUUUACCGGGACCCAUCAGUCUCAUGUCUCAAAGCCAGGGAAGGUAGCGAGCAUAUAGUUUAUUAAGCUUUUGAGGUGGUGGUCGCAGAUCAAUGUGAGGAGGGAAACCCUUGUCCUUAGCCUUUUCUGUCAAAUUCAUCCAUCAUGGUCAUUGUUGAAAUGAUCAAGCAUGGUUAUAAACCUGGGAAGGGACUCAGGCAUCAUUGCAAGGUAUCAUAGAACCUAUCACUCUACCUGCCAAAGAAGUUCUUCGGUAUGGGUUUUCGUUCCACAGAAGCUGAUGUGACAUUGGCAAAUGAGUGAAAGAGCAAUGGUUCGGUUUUACCUCAGCUGGUUCCACACCUCUACAAAACAUUCGUCCAGCCCAAGUACAAUGAAGAAGAAGAAGAUGAGGCCUUCACGGCCGAGAAAAUUGAAGAAAUAUGUGGGAGCUAUGAGGCAAAUGUUGUAUGAAACCUACAUGGUUUAUCCAGGAGAAGGCUCGAGCACCGCUGAGGUGCUGUAUAUGGGGCCCAAUGCCAAGUUACAAAACUGGAAGGCUACUCCAUUCCCAAUCAGGCGGGAAUCCCGAUAGUCCAGUCUUGCGACCUUUUCUACAUCACGAGUUAUUUCAGGGUGUAACUCGGAUGUUUCUUUUAGUUUAUUGUCUUUAAAUUCCAAUGUAAACCUUGUUAUCUUCAAAAUUCAAUGAAAUAAAAUCAAUAUUUCAUCGUUCAACUCUCUUUAUUCUUUCUGAUUUUUGUUAAUUUUUCUUAUUUCUUCUUUCAGUCCUAAUAACGCGGCUUUAAAUAAUGUGACAUGCUUGCGGACUUCAUGCACAGAUCCAAACACGUUAUCUCAUUGUGAAAUAAUGAAUCAAGAACUGGAAUACGAUGAAAAAGAGGCUUUUAGGGAAAUAAAUCAAGAAUUGGAACAAUUCGAGAAUAAACCUAAGCCAAACUUAAAUGAAACCGAGCCGGUUAAUUUGGGUAGUUCUGAAGAGGUCCAAGAAACCAUGAUGAGCAUUCACACAGAUGAAAGAACUAGGGAUGCCCUGAUCCAACUUUUGUUUGAAUUCAAAGAUGUGUUUGUGUGGUCCUACGAUGACAUUCCAGGAUUAAGUGUUGAUCUAGUGGUACACAAAUUGCUGACUUACCCCGAUUAUCCCCCUAUCCAGCAAAAACAAAGGAAAUUCAAAACUGAUAUCAACGACAAGAUCAAAGAGGAAGUCACCAAACAGUUGAAGGCAGGGGUGAUCCGAGUGGUCCGAUACACCACAUGGUUGGCCAAUGUGGUUCCCGUGCCAAAGAAAGAUGGGAAAAGUCGAGUGUGUGUUGAAUACUGAGAUCUGAAUAAAGCAAGUCCCAAGGACAACUUCCCUUUGCCAAACAUCCAUAUCCUUAUUGAUAACUGUGCCAAACAUGAGAUACAAUAUUUCGUGGAUUGUUAUGCAGGAUAUCAUCAGGUGUUGAUGGAUGAAGAGGAUACGAAAAAGAUAGCCUUCACCACUCCCUGGGGUACCUAUUAUUACAGGGUCAUGCCUUUUGGUUUGAAGAACAUCGGGGCAACUUAUAUGAGGGUCAUGACUGCCAUCUUUCACGACAUGAUGCACCAAGAAAUCGAGGUGUAUGUGGACGAUGUGAUCAUCAAAUCCAGAACACAGGACGACCAUGUUUGGACCUAAAAAAGUUUUUUGAGCAGCUGCACAAGUAUGAUUUGAAGCUAAAUCUGGCUAAAUGUGCAUUUGGGGUUCCGUCUGGCAAACUCUUAGGAUUUAUAGUCAGUCGGAGGGGCAUUGAGUUAGAUCCAACGAAAAUAAAGUCUAUUCAGGAUUUGCCUCCUCCGAAAACUAAGAAAGACGUUAUGAGCCUGCUGGGAAGGUUGAAUUACAUCAGCCGGUUCAUUGCUCAGUUGACUUCCACCUGUGAGCCUAUAUUCAAACUGUUGAAGAAAGAUGCGGCGAUUAAAUGGAUAGAUGAGUGUCAAGAAGUUGUCGACAAAAUCAAAGACCCGCCAGUCUUGGUCCCACCCGAACCUGGAAGGCCUUUGUUUUUGUAUCUAACAGUCUUGGAGAAUUCUUUCGGCUGUGUCCUGGGGCAACUGAUGUGACCAAGAAGAAAGAGCAGGCAAUCUACUAUUUGAGUAAGAAGUUCACAAGUUAUGAGGCCAAAUAUAUCUUGUUGGAAAGGAUUUGGUGUGCCUUAACUUAGGUCGCUCAGAAGCUUAGACAUUACCUGUUGGCCUAUACCACUUACCUCAUCACCAGGUUAGAUCCUUUAAAGUACAUAUUCCAGAAACCGAUGCCCACAGGGAGGUUAGCAAAAUGGUAGAUUCUGUUCACAGAAUUUGACAUAGUUUAUGUCACCUGUAUGGCAAUGAAAGCCCAGGCUUUAACAGAUCACCUAGCCGAAAACCCUAUUGAUGAUGAGUAUCAGCCUUUGAGUACUUACUUUCCGGACGAGGAGGUGAAUUCAGUUGAGGUAACAUCAGAAGAUACCAAUACUUGGAAAAUGUUCUUCGAUGGAGCCGUGAACGCAAAAGGUGUUGGGAUUGGGGUAUUUUUUAUCUCACCCCUGGUCAACACUAUCCAGCCAUAUCCUGGCUUCGGUUUUUCUGCACAAAAAAAAAACUUCCGAGUAUGAAGCCUGCAUUAUGGAUAUGAAUAUGGCAAUCGACCAAGAUGUUGAGGAACUAUUGAUCAUGGGGGAUUCAGACUUGAUUAUCCGACAAGCUCAGGGUGAAUGGGAAACUCGGGAUGUCAAGCUUAUUCCAUAAAGGCAACAUAUGGAAGAUCUUAGCAAGCGGUUCAAGUCAGUCGAGUUUAGGUACAUCCCUCGUUUUCACAAUGAAUUGGCUGAUGCACUCGCUACUUUGGCCUUGAUGUUGUCGUAUCCAGGCAAUCUCCACAUUGAACCGUUGGAAAUCCAAAUCCGAAAAAGGCAGGGUUACUGCAAUACGAUUGAGGCAGAACCGGAUGUUCAGCCAUGGCAUCAUGAUAUCAAGAGAUUUCUUAAAACUAAAGAAUAUCCUGAUCAAGCCAGUGGAGACCAAAAGAGAACCAUUAGACGGCUUGCAAGCAAUUUCUUCUUGAGCGGUGAGGUCUUGUACAAAAGGACUCCAGAUCUCAACUUGUUAAGUUGUGUUGACGCCGAAGAGGCCAGAAGAAUCAUGUAUGAAGUUCACGCAGGAGUAUGGACCCUACAUGAAUGGAUACGUCUUGGAAAAUAAAAUCCUUCGAGCAGGCUAUUACUGGAUGACUAUGGAAAAAGAUUGCUUCAAUUUUAUCCAGAAAUGUCAUCAGUGUCAGGUACACGGUGACAUGAUUCAUGUGCCGCCUACAGAAGUGCAUCCUAUGUCAGCACCAUAGCCGUUCGUUGCUUGGGGUAUGGACGUCAUUGGGUCGAUCGAGCCAAAAGCUUCAAAUGGGCAUAGAUUCAUAUUGGUCGCCAUCGACUACUUCACAAAGUGGGUUGAAACAAUUACUCUCAAAGCUGUCACUAAGAAAGAUGUGGUAGACUUCGUGCACUCCAAUAUCCUCUGCCGUUUUGGUAUUCCUGCAACUAUCAUUACGAAUAAUGCUGAAAACUUGAAUAGUCACUUGAUGAGGGAGAUAUGUGAGCAGUUUAAGAUCACGCAUCGAAAUUCUACCCCUUAUCGGCCCAAAGCCAAUGGUACUGUUGAAGCAGCAAACAAGAACAUCAAGAAGAUUCUGAGAAAGAUGAUCCAAAGUUCCAGGAAAUGGCAUGAAAAGUUGUCGUUUGCAUUGUUGGGAUAUCGCACAACUGUGCGCACAUCAGUCGGAGCAACCCCAUAGCUUUUGGUAUAUGGCACUGAAGCCGUGAUACCCGCAGAAGUUAAAAUCCCUUCUCUUCGAAUCAUUGUUGAAGCUGAAAUUGAGGACAGUGAAUGGGUAAAAACCCGUCUGGAACAGUUAACCCUGAUCAAUAAAAAGCAAAUGGCCACAUUCUGCCAUGGGUAGUUGUAUCAACAAAGAAUGGCCCGUGCCUACAACAAGAAAGUGCGGCCUAGGAACUUCGAAGUGGGGCAACUCAUUUUGAGGCUUAUUCUCCCUCACCACCAGGAAGCAAAAGGAAAGUUCACUCCUAACUGGAAGGGCCCAUAUAUUAUCAGAAAAUUAUUGCCAAAAGGGUCGUUAUACCUGGGAGACAUCGAAGGAAAUGACCCCGAAACAGCUGUAAAUGCAGACGCAGUCAAAAGAUAUUAUUUCUAGUCUUUCUACAGCACUGAUACUAUCCGAUUGGGAAGACGAAGUCUUUCAUUCUCGCUACCCCAAACACUCCAAUCCUUUGCUAACCCUUUGAGCCAGUUACCUUUCCUUCAUUACCCUCUUUGGAACUUGAAAACGUUUGUAAAAAAAUAAAAUCAAAUCAAUAUCAGAAAUCAACAAAUCAACAAAAGAAAAACAAAACAAAAGUUUUCCCUGAACUACGUUUGACUUGAUUCUGAAAGGAUACGUAGGCAGCCUAUCUCUAGGGUUCAGUCAUACCAAAAUAAAAAUUCAAUUUCCCCUCAAAAGUGAAACUAGGGCAGAUGUUAUAAUGGUUCGAUGAUAGUUCGCCAGAAAAGUUCCAAAGUUAUAAUUUGAUCCAAACUCUUUUUACCCUAAAUCCCGUUCAAGUUCUUCUGAUCAAGAGAUAGGACGUUCAAGACUUGGAGAAUGUGGUUGCUUGGAUCUGAUACAAACAAAUAAGAGAAAUAAAAUGAGAGAGUUUUAUUGGUGAAAACCCACACGGACACCGUAAGAUGAUGGAAAGCAAAGAAAUUAAAAAAAUGAGAGAGUUUUGUUAGUGAAAACUCGUAAAGAGCAUUAUAAGGCGACGAUGAGAAGAGAAAUGAGAGAGGUCAAUUGGCGAAAACCCGCAAAGGGCACCGUUGAUCAAAAAGAAGAAAUCCCUUACAACCAUUGGCACUAAAAGAGUCCUGGAAGGUUUCUCGGUUUUAAAACACGGGUCAUAAUGGGUUUAUGAGAAUUUGGAUAGUUGCGCUGAUCGGGUAUCCAGUCCAAGAAGCAUGUCAUGUCUAUUGAAGUCUGCAUGCACUCCAGAUAAGUCCUUCUUUCUCUCCCCCGAAAGGGAUGCUUCUCGUUAAAUUCAUUAUCCUGUCCUUUGUUUACUUUUCUUUAAGUCCCUUUCGGUCUAAUCCCUCUUCGAAACUGAUACAAAGAAAAGAUAGCAAGACUGGUUGUACAGGGUUCUACUUAACAAAAGCCAAAUUCAAAGAAAAGCACCCAGCCUCAGCAGGUGCAUCAAGUCGAUCUCGACUGGCCAUGAUGGUCGAUGCUCCAGGUUCAAAUUCAUUGAAAAGGGAAAGAAAUCCAAAGUCAAAUGUCCAUAAAGGCGAAAUAAGAGGAAAAGGCCAAAACCCUACACAGGUUGAACCAUCGUAUUGAAAAUUUUAGAAAGUCAAAAUCCCUAGUUUUAGAAGAGAGAUCGAUCUCCAGAAAGCCAGCAGGCAACAGAGAUGUUCAUCGAAAGAGUUGGGUCGAGAUCAAGUGAUCAAAACAAUCAAGGCCACAAAACUAACUACCAAUUCAAACUAACAAUUGUUCUUUGUUUGAAAACAUGAAACAGGAGCAAUGCAAAGCAACCUUGCAAGAAACGGGUGUAACAAGACACUACGCAAGUACUAAAAACAGCUUUGCAGCAACGAUCCAGAAAGGGAAGUCCCCUCCAAAUUCUUUCCCGCAUUUACUCAUUCCAUGAAAUAAAGGAAGAAACAAAAUGAAAAAAAAAGAGAUAAGAAGAAAAUUCAAAAUAAUGGUAGCCUAGGAUCCCCAAUAUCUAAUUAUGUUUUUCCAACAUAGGAUCUCCACUCCCUAGUUGAUUUUGUUUUAGACAUAAGGUCUCCACUCCCUAGUCAAUUUCCCAACAUAGGGUCUUCACUCCCUAGUUGAAGUUAUUUUAGACAUAGGUCUCCACUCCAUAGUCGCUUUUCCAACAUAGGGUCUCCACUCCCUAGUUUAGUUUAUUUUAGACAUAGGGUCUCCACUCCCUAGUCGCCUUUCCAACAUAGGGCCUCCACUCNNNNNNNNNNNNNNNNNNNNNNNNNNNNNNNNNNNNNNNNNNNNNNNNNNNNNNNNNNNNNNNNNNNNNNNNNNNNNNNNNNNNNNNNNNNNNNNNNNNNNNNNNNNNNNNNNNNNNNNNNNNNNNNNNNAAGUCGCCUUUCCAACAUAGGGUCUCCACUCCCUAGUUGAUUUUAUUUUUAGACAUCGGGUCUCUACUCCCUAGUCACCUUUCAAACAUAGGGUCUCCACUCCCUAGUCGCCUUUCCAACAUAGGGUCUCCACUCCCUAGCUUAGUUUAUUUUUAGAUAGUAGGUAGAUGUUUUUCCAACAUAGGAUCUCCACUCUAUGGUUGAUUUUAGUAUAGAUAUAGGGCUCCACUCCCUAAUCUCUUCUUCCCAAGGAUACACAAUCCUUAUUUUAUUUGCUUUCAAAUAAAGAAAUAGUUUAGAUUUUGUUACAAUAACUCACGAAAUUUUCCUAGUGAAAACUAGGGCAGAAAAACUUCAUUCGUUUAUUUGCUUUGGUGCCUGAACAGGUUUUUACCGUGGGGCACAAGGUUUGAGAUGACCAAAAUAAGAAGUCUCAACCCAAAUAAAAGAAAAGAAGUUGAAUUCAAGAUGCAGAAGCGGAGAAAAGAUGUGGACUACUCAAAUUUGAUUGAAGUCACAAGCUUCGCAUGUCCCGCCGUGAUCUGAAAAGCUGAAGAAGAAUGAACCAACAGUUGCAACUAACGAGCGUCAAGAUUCAAACCAGAGUUUACAGGAAGAAUCAUCCAAGAUUCAAGAUCAAGUUUUAGAAGGUUUAUAGAUAAGAAUCUUGUAACUCGUAGUUGAUAGACUUAGCUAGCUUAGCUUCUUAUCUUUCAUUUUGGUGUAAUAAGGAGCUCAACAAGCAAAAACAACAGCAACAACAGUGAAAUCACAGUUCCCUAUUAGUCCCAGCUACCAAAACUUCCAGAACUACACUGACCUGAUUCUUUUAUAGCCAAGGAUAUGUAGGCAACCUCAGAAGCAAGGUUCGGUCAGGCUCCUUAAAAAAUGCUUCUCAUAGAGUUACAAAUGGGAAAAAAUCCCUCAUAAUUGCUCAUUUUGUCUUUGCCCGAAAGUCUGUCGUGUUUCCGAGCAAAGAGGGGCAGCUGUGAGCAUGUGGAUUUUGCCCUAUAUGAAAUACUCCUAUAAAAUCCCAAGAAAAUAGGUUUUCUGUUAAUUAUUUGCCAUUUUAGGAAUUUUUAUAGAAUUUUUUUAAUUAUUUGCAUUUCUGUGCAUGUUUAAUUUUUAUUUAAAUCAUGAAAAAAUACAAAAAUAUUAUGCAUUGCACUUAGGAUUUGUUUUUAUAUUUUUAGAAUUAAUCAGUAAUUAUUUGCUUUAUAAAAAUUUAAAAAUCACAAAAAAUAGCUCAUUUUUACAUUUCUGUCUUUUAAUUUUUAGUUUAUUGAUUUUUCUCUUUUAAUUUAGAAUUAAGUGAUGUUUAUAAUUUUUUAUAAUUAGUUAACUAGUUUAAUUUCAAAUUUUAGAUAAUUUAAGAUUUUUAAUUAUUGGGGUUUUUAAUUAAAAAAAGAGAGAUUAAAGAUAUAAUAAAAGAAAGAAGAAAAAAAUGAUUUUUAAAGUGGGUCUAGCAUACUUGGGUUGCACCUUUAAAACCUUCAGCCCAAACACUUCCCUUUACAGCCCCAGCCCAAAAAUUGGACCAAACCCGCCUAUUUUUGACCCGCCCGUCUCCCUCCAUACAUAAACCUUGUUAUAUCAUUUCUCACACCCAAACCCUAGAUCUAAAUAACAUUGAAACGGUGAUGUUCAUCAUUUUCCUCAUUGAGCUCGGUCCUCAACUCGCCAGGAACUCAGGCAAGUUCACUCAAAUGGGACCCCUCCCCUCCACGUCAUUUUAUUUCCAACAGUUUUUUGUCAGAGAGGAACGAAUAUUGUCUCCAAAUUUUGCACGAUUUUAGUACAAUAGAACGAUUUGCUGGAUGAAUGGGAGCCGUGGAUAGAUGUAAAUCGAUCCAUGCCUUCCAUCUGUCCCAAAAAUCAUUCAAAACAUGAAGAUUUUCGGAUAUUUGGGCAGAAAUUUUGAGAUUUUUUGAGGGUUAUAUAUAUGAGGUAUGUUUUCUUUUUCAAGGUUAAGGAAAAAUCAGAAAAAUCUAGGGAAAAUUUUAAAAACUUAGUGAUGGAAUUUCUAGGGUUUUGAAGUUUCUCCCUUCUCUCCACCCCUUUUUCUUUUUUAGUGAGGCAUUUUUUAGAAAACGAAAAAUAUACAAAAUCAUAGUGUGAGUUUUGGGUUUAGACAAAAAAAAUUGUUUCAUUUCGAAAGGGAUUAAAAUUUUACAAAUCUCAGCAUUUUCCUUGGAUCUUUGGUUUUUUCAAAAAUUGUUUAUGAUUGAGUUUGUGGCUGGGAUUUGGAAUUUGGGUGUUGUGGAUUCCUGUUCGAGUUUUUUUUGGCAGCAAUCUGGUCUUGGCUGAACUUUUUUGAGCUCCAGAUUAGUCGUGGAAACUCUUGCUGUUCAGAAAAUUAUUUUCUGAUUUUUCUUCGACUAUUGGAGACCAGCUGCUGUUUUCUUCUUGAUCUUGCUCGACCUUUAUUUUGUCUGAUUCUUUCUCUUAUUGUGUUUUCUAGGUAAACAUAUACUACCUCAUGUUGUUGGUUUUAUUGAUGUAUUAAAGAUUGUGAUGGGAUGACAUUAUUUUUUAUCCGGCAAGAUUGUGUUUAAGCUAGCUUGAAUGGUCAUUUGAUUUUAACAAUAGAAGAGUUAAAAAAUGUUCUUGGCUCUGUUGUGUUGUUUCGUGUUUUUAAAACUCACAGCUACACAUACACACUCAUUACAUUUAGUCAUUCAUAUUUUUCUAAGGUUAUUGUGUUGAUUUACUGAAGAGUGAGAUGAACUUGUAAAUUUAAGUUGGAUUUUUAAGCUGAUGAAUCUAGAUGAGGGGUUUAAAUUAUUUUACUUCCCUCAUCAAGACAUAACAGAAUAUGUGUGUGUGUUUGGUUUUAGGUUCGCUUAAUCACUUCUUCUCUCUUUCUUUAUCAACUAUCUCUCCUAUUAGAAUCCCUUCAUAUAUAAAAAGGAUCUUGUGUAAUUGUUCUGUUGCAUUUCUUCAUUUCUGUCCCAAACUAUAAUGCAGUCUAAUUUGAUAAAAAUGUAUGUUUAGAGCUGUUGGUAUUUGGAGUUUCCAUAAGAAGUGUACAUGCUAUCCUAUGCCUUUGUUGUCAUAGAUUCUUUUGGACAUUUUACAUGAGACGAGUUGAUCCUGAAUCUAGGUGUGUUCCUUAAAUAGAAAAGUAUCCAGGGGUUGUUUGGAUGUACGUGAUGUAUUAGGUUUUGUAAAAUUGGGUUUUUUUAUUUGGUUAGAUCUUUGCCUUGGCUAUUUCUUGUUUUAAAAGGUUCUGUAAGUUACCUAAAAUAGGUUCAGAAGCAAGAGUAUGUUUGAAUUCAUGUUUUAGCCCUAUGUUAGUUGAUAGGUUUUUGCUGAAGAAAUGCAUCAUAUAUAGUUUACAAGCAGCUCCUCCUACUUUGUUUACUGUUGAACACUUUUAGUUUCUUUGUGAAUUGGAAUCCACAUGUAGUGUCAGGAAAAUUUUAUUUUAUCUAGUAAGUUUGAGAUUGAAAUAUAUUAAAAAGUGAAGUCCCAGACUAUUUGUUGCUUGUUUCUCAUUGAUUGUGUAUGGAUGUAAGGCAUGUACAACUUGUUUAUGAACGGCCCAGAGCAAUAAUUUUUUUUGGGCCUCAGUAAUCAUCUUUCUUUUGGCAUGCAUUGGGUUUAAUUGUUUGACUUGCAUCUGGGCUCAAUUAUGAGCCCAAUGAGUGAUAAUGCCCAUCUCAUUUAAAAAAAGUGUGCAUUGAUACACUGGGCCUGCCGUUGGCCCAGUUCCCACCUCGAUCAGUUUAGGCCUGUUUGCUUUGCUUUACACAUUAAUCAAGGGCCUGAGCCCAAGUUUGGAUGCAAAUAACCUUAGGUUUAAUUAAGUGUAAUCCCUUUAAAAUGGUUGGAGGAGUGCCAUUUUUCAUUAAAAUUACCCAUGACCCUCUUAUUAGCAAUACAAAAUUUAGAAGUAAUUAAUUCUUUAAAUACCUGUAGUUUGCUUUAGAUGCGCAAUUAAAUUAUUACGACUAUGGGUACGGUUCCCGUGACGUGGUUGUGAUAAUUAGUUUUAAAUUAUGUUAAAAUAAGUGUACCUUUAGAUUGCCUUUAAAAUAUAUACCCCUUUUCCUAAAACAAUUUGAGGUGUGUCAUGCUUAAAACCCAUAAUAUAUGGCCCUCACAAAUUUAAUUCAAGAGUUUAAUACUUCUAAAAUUGAGGUGUGCCAUCAAUUUAACUCUCCCUAGCCCUCACAAAUGUUGUUAUUAAUUUGAACAUUCGUAGUUUCCUUAGGCGCGUUCUUUAAUUAAUUCCAUCAUAGCUAUAGGUGCGGUUCCUGUGACGUAGUUGUGAUUUCUUUUAAAAUUUCGGGCGUACAUUUCAUGUAACCCAAGUUCAAUUUCUCAACAAUGUAAAAUGGAACGUAUUGCGAACUGCGGGUGCGUUUCAUGUAGCGUGGUUCAAGGUGUGAUUUAAAUAACGUUGAAUCUUCCUAAAAUUGUUUUAAAAUAAUUAAAAGCGGUUCUAAAGCGAAAAAAAUACAAUAGGUUAAAACAUGUAGUAAAUCAGAUAAUAGGCCAAUUUUAAUAGUUUAAGCGACCGUGCUCGAACCACGGAACCCGGGAAUGCCUAACACCUUCUCCCGGGUUAACAUAAUUCCUUAUCUAAAAUUUCUGGUUUCGCAGACUUUUUUUGAUAAAGUCGAAUUUUCCUCGAUUUGAGAUUUAGAAUAAACUGCUGACUUGGGACACCCUAAAUUAUUCCAAGUGGCGACUCUAUAAUAAAUAAAUAAUCCCAUUUUGAAUAAUGUCACUUUAAUUGGAAAAACUCCCUUAUAUACCCUCGGGUGUAAAAAAAGGAGGUGUGACACCGAGCGCAAACGAACAAUCAUCAUUUCGAUCCCGGAGGAUGCACGAGUUUUUGUCGCCUCCGUAUCGGUGGCUAGUUACCUUUGAAGUCUGGUCAUGGAAGAAGACCAAGCUUUGAUGGACGAGGUGGGAGCACCAUGUCUCUUUAAUGAGGCCCAACAGGCUUUGAAUCAGGUAAGCCCUAACCUUCAUUGUCAAUACCAGUUUCCAUACUUGUGUUUUUCUUUUCUUGCCUAAUUUUUUUUCUUCUAUUUAUGUAGGCCUCGGUGCUUCAUCACGAAGCUUUCUUUAGGUUUUGAGGAGAACUGAGUCGAUAUGAGGCUGAUAUCCAUGGGCUCACCGAGGAGAACAAUGCCUUUAAACUUUUUAGUGAACAUAAAGAAGAAAAAAUCAAGGGCCUCCAAGCUGAACUGGUCGCGGCUCAAAAAGAACAGAGCGAACUGACCAGCAGGUAAUAAAAGUAUUAGAAGCUCAUGAAAUCGGUUUGGGAGUGAUGGAUAACAAUUCGAUCUCAUAUGUCCAGUAGCUACAUGAGACAAUUGAGCAACUCCGUGGAGAGGUAGAUACGAUGAAGGCAGAAACCAUAGCGUGGAAGAAAAAUAUGGACCACCUUGCCUCAGAGAAAGAGACUACUAGAGCUUAGUUAUCCUCAACUAAAAUCCAACUCCAAGGCAUGAAGGAGAAGAAUUUGGCACAAGCCAAGAAAAUUGAGGAGCUCCAGGCUCGGUUGGUCACGAAACUUGCAGUGGCAAAAUCUAAGGCUGAGACGGCUAAGGCCGAUGCUGAGGCAAUCGUGGCCAUCUACAAGUCUGAUGCCGAAGCCGCUCAAGCUCGAGCAAAGGAAAUUGAUGAUACUGCUCAGACUCGAGCAUACUGGGUUGCUGAGCUUGCCAAGUGCCAGUCUUGAAGGGAGACUCUCGUGGAGAUCCACGCUCGUGGCUUUGAUCUCGCUGCCGAGAUCAAAGAUGCAAAAGAGCUUGAACCCGAAGCCAAAGCAUUGGUCUCUUCUAGUGAUGAUGAUUCCAGGAGUAUGAGUGGAUCCAAGAGCGGAGAAUACCCCGAGGGUGAAGAUAUUGCUCCUGAAGAAGAUUAAGUACUUAGGGUUUUUUUUGGAUUUUUUGCAUAGAAUUCCGAUCGGGCCAUGUUGCCCUUGUAAAUAACUUUGACGUAUAUAAAGAUCUUUCUCGUGAAAUUUCAUUUCACUUACGCCUUAUGAAAUUUGUGCUUUAUUUAUGCCUUGUGAAAUUAUUAUUCAUAGGUUCGAGGUUCAGGUAAUUCGACCAAAAUAGAACUAGCAUAGCUUUUAUCGAGUGAGUUCUUGCUCAGACUCGAAGUAAGGUAACCCUUAGGUUUUAUAUGAAUUAGGACGAUCUUUUGAACUCAAAGCAAGAGAUAGCCCUUAGGCUUUUGUAUUAGGCCGACAUGGCCUUUGUACAAAGAAUUUCUAUGGCUUUUUCCCCCUUUUUCGGCUUGAAAAGUUUUUGUCAUUUAUAUUUGUAAAACCUGUAAUGCCUUAGCAUGGAAUAAGGGAUUGUUCGAGUGUUCCAAAAAUUUUGUACUCAUUAGAGUUUUCAGGGCUUGAUAUUAUCGAAGCCCUUCAUAAUUUUGCUGAGGGUAGCCCUUUUAACCGAUUUAUGAAAAUAUUCGAAGGCCUGUUUUAUUACGGAAUUUGGACGUCUCCAAACCGUGUUAAUUUGGCCGUAGCCUUUUUAUUUGGGACUUGACCCUUAGGCUUAUUUUCCCAUUUCACCUCGAGCUUGCCCGAAGUGUCAGUCCCCGAGUGGGGUGGCCGUGGCCUAUAAAAUCAAGGGCCGCCUUUAAGGUCUUAUUAUCUUGAAGUUUUAAUAAUUUGAUCUCGUUUGUUUUUCGAACGUCAGUCCCCGAGCAUGGGGUUCUGUUAUGAUCGGCCCUUAAGCCUGUUCACAUAAUAGAUCAAGAGUACGAAAUUGUAAAGUAGAAAAAAAUUUCUAAGGCAUGAGAUAUCGGCAAGGAAAAAUAUAUCUUUUAAUAGGUGAUUAUACAUGCGUACAUGUUUGAUCUAGGGCUCGAGUAACCUAUAUGGGCACGGUUAGUUCGAACACUUGGCCCUUACAAAAUUUACCUACUGAGACCCCGUAGUUACGAAGUCAUUUCCUUGCAGCAAAGUUGAUAUUCGAGGGUAAUGCCCCCUAGUAUUCGAGGUUGAUUGUAAAGAAGCCUUGGAUACUGUUGAAUUAUUAUAUGUUAGCACGAUCAAUGGUUGCCUCGUUAAAAACCUCACCGAAAAAUCCAUUUGGGACAAAAACAAGUCUAAGGGAAAAAGAGUGUAACACGUGCUUUCAUACCUAAAGACUUCAUAUUGAAGAAUCCAUUACCGUCCUCGAUCGAACACCUGCAAUUGAUUAGUUUAAAAUAUAAAUGAAAAUGGAAAAGGUCGUACCUUAGCAGUAGUAUCACUUUAGAAGUGACACAUUCUAAUUGUCUAGUAAUUGUUUGUCGUUCAUUGUGCUGAGCUUGUAAGAUCCCUUUCCAAUAAUGUCGUGGACCUGAUAUGAUCCCUCCCAAUUUGGAACCAGUUUUCCUUCAUUUGGGUUUCGAGUGUUGAGGGUGACUUUAUUUAGCACCAUGUCCUCAAUUUUAAAGUGUCAAAGAUUGGCUUUUUGGUUGUAGUACCUUUCAAUCAGCUAUUUUUGUGUGGCCAAUCGAACGAGGGCAGCCUCGCGUCUUUCAUCCAACAAUUCUAGGCUCGUAUUCAUGGCCUCGUUAUUCGAUUAUUCUAUUACAUAUCAAAACCUAAGGCUAGAUUCCCCUACCUCGACCGGGAUAAGGGCUUCGGCACCAUAGACCAAAGAGAAUGGUGUUGCCCCCAUCCUGGAUUUCGACAUCGUGCGGUACGCCCAAAAAACCUUGGGCAAUACCUCUCUCCAUUUUCCAUUAGUGCCGGUCAAUCUUUUCUAAAGAUUUUGAAUGAUGGUUUUGUUGGUUGAAUCGGCUUGUCCGUUUCCACUAGGAUGGUAUGGCGUUGAUAGAAUCCUUUUAAUCUUGUGAUCCUCGAGAAAUUUAGUCACUUUGAUACCGAUGAAUUGCUUUUUGUUGUCCCACAUGAUCUCGGUAAGCAUCCCAAAUAGGCAUAUAAUGUGGUCCCAAAUGAAGUCUAUGACUUCUUUUUCUAUGACUUUCUCGAAAGCCUGUGCUUCAACCAAUUUAGAAAAAUAAUCAGCAAUAAAUAAAAUAAACUGAGCUUUACCUGGGGCCGAUUGUAGAGGGCUGACGAUGUCCAUUCCGCAUUUCAUGAAUGGCCAUGGGAUAAGAUCGAAUGGAGCUGCUCCCCGGGCUGGUGAAUCAUCGACGCAUAUCUUUGACAUUUAUCGUACUUUCGAACGAACUCGUUUGUAUCCUUUUCCAUAUCAGCCCAAUAGUACCCUGCUUUGAUGAAUUUCUGAACCAGUGAUUCGGCACCGGAAUGGUUCCCAUAGGUGCCUUCGUGAAUUUCCCAUAGGACCUACUCAGUGUCUUCUAGUCCCAAACAUAUUGCCAAUGACACAUUAAACAUCCUCCUUAAUAAUGUCCCAUCCUCGGCCAAAGUGAACCGUGCUGCCUUGGUGCGUAGAGUUCUUCACUCCUUCGGAUCAGACAGGAGUUUCCCGUUCUUUAGGUAUUCAAUAUACUUGUUCCUCUAAUCCCAGGUCAAACUUGUAGAGUUUAUUUUGGCAUGACCUUCUUCGAUUACUAAUCUCGAUAUUUGUACGACAGUCCCUGAGUUAAGUUCGUCAUCCUCGACUGAUGACCCCAAGUUUGCAAAGGCAUCGGCCUCGCUAUUUUGUUCCUGAGGUAUGUAUUGUAAGGUCUAGUCUUUAAAUUGAUGUAAAGUUACCUGUAGCUUAUCCAAGUAUCUCUACAUUCGAUCUUCUCGGACUUCAAAAGUUCUGUUGACUUGGUUUACCAUAAGUAGGGAAUCAUAUUUGGCCUCGAUGACCUCUGCUCCCAAACUUUUAUCCAGCUCGAGACCUACAAUCAUGGCCUCAUACUCGGCCUCAUUGUUAGUUGACUUCGAAGUUUUGAUAGACUGUCCAAUUAUUUUACCCAUGGGUGAUUUCAAAAUGUUGCCCAGCCCGAACCCUUUCAUGUUCGAAGCACUGUUUGUGAAGAGGGUCCACACCACUGAUGGUGUACUCAAUUUUAGUAAUAGUUCCUUAUCGACCUCGGGUACGAGGGCUAGUGUAAAAUCAUCCACGAAGUCUGCCAAGAUUAGGGACUUGAUGGUCGUUCGGGGUUGAUACUCGAUAUCAUACCUGCUGAUCUCAACGGCCCAUUUGGCUAGUCGAACUGAGAGUUCGGGUUUGUGAAAAAUAUUGCGAAGGGGAUAAGUAGUUACAACACAAAUCGGGUGGCAUUGGAAAUAUGGUUUUAACUUCCUAGAAGUGCUUAUUAAAGCAAGCGCUACUUUCUCUAGGUGUGGGUAUCGGGUCUCAGCCUCACCUAAGGUCCAACUAACAUAGUAAACAUGGAAUUACAUACCUCGCUCUUCUCGAACUAGGACCUCACUUACCGGUAUUUUCGAAACCGCCAAGUAUAAGUAGAGUUGCUCGUCCACUUUUGGGGUGUGAAGUAGUGGAGGGCUUGACAGGUAUCAUUUAAGUUCUUCUAAGGCUUGUUGGCAGUCCGGGAAACAUGCAAAAUUACUCUUUUUCUUAAGCAGUGAGAAGAAACUGUGACUUAUAUUUGAGGACCUCGAAUGAAUCGCCCUAGGGCGGCUAUGCGCUCGGUCAACCUCUACACGGCCUUCACAUUAUCUACGACUUUGAUAUCCUCGAUAGCUUUGAUUUUAUCGGGGUUGAUCUCGAUCCCCCGAUUGAACACCAUGAAGCCAAGAAACUUUCCCAAGCCGACCCCGAAUGCACACUUUUCUGGGUUGAGUUUCAUGUUGUAUCUCCUUAGUAUAUCGAAAGUCUCCUGCAAAUGUUUCAAAUGGUCCUCUGCUCGCAGGGACUUAACUAGCAUGUCAUCAAUAUAAACUUCCAUAGAUUUCCCUAUUUGUUCUUCGAACAUUCGAUUUACUAGGCGUUGAUAAGUUGCACCAUCAUUUUUUAGUCUAAACGGCAUUACGUUAUAACAAUAGGUGUCGUAUUUAGUGAUAAAUGAAGUCUUUUCCUAAUCCUCUGGGUUCAUCUGUAUCUGAUUGUACCCGGAGUAGGCAUCGAGAAAAAUGGAAUCUCGUGAUCGGCCGUGGCAUCGAUCAUGCGAUCGAUGUUCGGCAAAGAAAAAGAAUCCUUAGGGAAGGCCUUGUUCAAGUCCUUAUAGUCUAUGCAAAUUCUAAGUUUAUUUCCCUUCUUAGGGACCACCACUAUGUUUGCUAACCAUUCGAGAUAUUUUACUUCCCGAAUGGACCCUAUUUUGAGAAGUUUGGUUACCUCGUCCUUGAUGAAUGUAUUUUUAACCUUGGAUUGGGGUCUUCUCUUUUGCUUUACUGGACGGAACUUCGGGUCCAAGCUUAGUCGAUGGGUGGUGAUCUCUAGUGGGAUCCCUGUCAUAUCAAGAUGGGACCAAGCAAAACAAUUUAUGUUAUCCAAAAGGUAUUGAAUAAGUUUUUUCCUGAGCUCAGGAGUUAACUCCAUGCCCAGAGAUACCUUUCGAUCGGGCAGAUACUCGAUCAAUAUGAUUUGUUCUAGCUCUUCGACCAUUGACUUCAUUGCGUCAGAAUCAUCGGGGAUUAUGAAGGUUUGAGUUAUCAUAUAAUCAUCAUCCUCGAAAGUUUCCUGCUCCUCCGAUCGGGACGAGACCGGUGACUAUGGUUGCUAUUUGACUUCCUGCUUUCCCUUUGAUUUCGAUCCCUUUGUUGAUGAAAGCGCCGAUACCCGUAUCACUUCGUCGAUUGCAAAUAUUUCUUUGGCAGCGGGUUGUUCACCGUACAUCGUUUUGACUCUUUUCGAUGUUGGGAAAUUCAGGACUUGAUGAAGUGUCGAGGGCACUGCCCUCAUGUUAUGGAUCCAAGGCCUUCUAAGCAGUGCGUUGUACCUCAUGUCACCCUCGAUCACAUGGAACUUUUUUUAAUUAGUCCACUAGGCAGUGCCUAGGGCUAGUUAUAUAUAUAUAAUGAAAUAAAAAAAUAAAGUGGCAUGAAAUCCUAAAACAUGAAAGAAAUAAACUUUGUAAACUACAUAAAUCCUAUUAUCAAAGUUGAGAGAUGCACACAACAAUGAUAUCACAAAAGUUCUAAUGUAUGUUUUAUAAGUAGAAGCUAGCCCUUGAAGUCCGUUACAAUUAAAGUCUAGCUGAUUCUUCCGCUCUUUGUAAAUAUAGCCAUACGCUGCCCAGUUCCUCCUGUUGCACACAUAACCAAAUUGGUUGUAUAAAUAGCCUCCUCUCUUUUGCUCAAUAGCCAUUGGCCAAACUAUGAUGCUAUGGAACACCUUUCCUUUGUCUUGUAUCCUUGUAUGAUAUCUGAUUGCAUCCCAAUUCGAUAGUAUGCCAUUCCAGUAGUUCACACCUGUAUAAAAAUGUAAGCCAUGCAAAAUCUGGAAAUGGUGCACUGUCCAAAGAAGUACGAGUACACUAUUUUUGAUUUCAUUUUCGCGUAACUUCCAUUUCUCAUCUCUUGAAGCCUUUACAUGAAGUUGAUCCUGAGUCAUCCUAUCAUUGUGGCACAUGAAAAUGUUAUUCCAAUUUAUCUCCAAGUAGCCCGGUAUGAGCUACCAAAUGAGCCAUAAUAAGUAUGUUGACCAUCGUUGCUCAGGUACACUGUGCCAUAGCCUUCGCGUCGCCAGGUCUCUAGCGAGAAAGAGAGUAGGCGUAAUACCUCGUGUCACCAGGGUGUUGAUCUUGCUCCCGGUCCUGUUGGGCGAGGUCUAUAGCAUGGAAGAGCAUGCCAGAUACUGUGCGCCACCAGGUCCAUAGCGAGAAGGAGUUGGUGAAAUCCCUAGCAUCGCAUGGGUGUUGAACUCGCUACUGGGCGUGCUGGGCGAAGUCUAAAGUGUGAUAUGAAGCUCUCUAUGUCUGCUGAUUGUUGCGCCACCAAUACCAACGCCAGGAACAUUAGGUCGCAUUACCAAGCUUGUUGCAUUCUAUGAAUGUUCAUUUGCCUCCUUAGUUCCAUGAUUGUGCAUGCCAUCUUUUCUCCUUCAAGGGAAUGACCACAUAGUGCUAAUACCAUCCAUAUAAGUCGUAAUAAAUGGCAAGACAUGAGUACAAUAACGUCUCCUGCAAAAAGGAACACAAGGUUAGUAGAAAAAAUGAUCCCCAUAUUCUCUUCCUAAAGGAUUUGAAUAUGAUAAUCCAGUGAUGUCUCCCAUACCCUACUAGCCCUUUCCUCCUUCUUUCUUAGUUCCUUGCUACCUUCACAAAUCAUAUCCUCACCCUUCAUGAUUGCUCCUUACAAAUAAAUUAAAAUUUUGCUUGGCAAUCCUUACCCUAACAUAGGUAUUUGAAGCUUGUCAUUGUUUAAUAUUUUCCUACCUUCUGAUUCCAAUUCCCAGAAUGAUUGCACCUGGAUCCUAUGUUCCUGAUCCAAUGUCAAGUUAGUUAAGUGAUCUGCUAGCUUGUUUCCUUCCCUCAACACAUGCACAAUCUGGAAAAUACCUUUAGCCAUAAGAAGUUUGAUUUCAUCCACCUGAUUUGCAAUGUUCCAAGGUGGUUCCCAUACCUUAUCUAACACUUUCUUCAACAAUAAUGAGUCAGUCUUAAUUAUACAAGGAGGAAACUGCAUUUGAAUUAUGUACCUGACUGCUUCCAAACUGGCCUGAGCUUCAGUAAUGUUAUUUGUUGCCUUCUCCACAACAUCUUCCUAGGCAUAUAUAAGGUCUCCAAUACCAUCCCUAAUGCAAAAACCAUAGGAAGCUCCCCCAUUUUUUUCCUUUACAAGCCCCAUCAGUAAUACAUUUUAUCCAACCAUCUGGAGGUAGUUGCCAUAGUACCUUAGUAUAUUUCAAUCUAGGAAGAUGAUUUAGCAAUUUCUCAUGUAAAUCUGGCCCAUUGGCAGUAACUCCUUUGAACCCUGGUCUUCUUACCUUGAAGAACAUAUGAAUUGUGGUUGAAAUCUGGAAUAUCAACCUAUUAAAAGAUACAUUCUUCCCAUGUUUGCCAGAAUUCCUUUUCUUCCACAAAUGCCAUACUAUUAUAGAUGGCAUUGCUUGGUAAAUUGCCUUCAUACUGGCGUUUCCUGAUUUAAGCCACCACUCAUUUAUUAAUUGAACUAAUUGCUUCCCUUCAGUUUUGAUCCCUAUUGGAGCACCAAAGUAGUUCCAUACAAAUUUGGCUGCUGGAGAUGUCAAGAAAAUAUGGGACAUUGUCUCUUCCUUAGGAUGCCUAUAACACCAACAUCUUGAUGUUUUAAAGUAUCCCAAACUUAAGAACCAAUCAUCUAAUGGUAGUUUUGCCUUCCAGAGUCUCUACACGAAAAAAACUAAUCUUUAAAGGCACACCUUUUACCCAGAAAAAUUUAUAUAAUUUGCUUUCUGCCCUUCUCUUCCUUAUAAAUCGCCAAGCUGACUUCACUGAGAAUGUCCCUUUUGUUUAUAGCUUCCACCAUAGUUUAUCCUUUAUUGAGUAAUCUGAAGGUGGUAAGAUUGUAUCCAUGAUGUGAUCGGCUACCUCCUCAGGCAGUAAUUAUCUCAAAAGACCUUCAUUCCAUGUACCAUUUUCCAUCACCUCAUCAACAUAUUUAUAAGAUUCAUCACACCAAUGAUCUGGACCUUUUGCAUGAUAGAGAGCUCCCAAACUAGUCCAAUUAUCAAACCAAAAACAGGAAUUCCCACUCCUCAAUUGCUACUAAAUUUGAUCUUCCACCUCAUCCCUCAUUUGGAUCAUCAUUCUCCACACUUAGAGAACCAUGUCUCCCUGGUACUACUACUUCAUUUAUCUUCUUACAAUAUUUUUUCCUCAUGAAAACACUCCAUAAAGAGUCCUUAGUUCUAUAGUUCUACCACAGUUUUGCAAACAAAGCCUUGGACACAUCAUACAUUGAUCUAAAACCAAGUCGUCCUUCAUUUUUAGGUAGACACAAAGUAUCCCAAGAAGCCCAGUGUCUUGCCCUUCCAAUACCUGAAUUGCUCCAAAAAAAACCUAGCAAACAUCUUGUGUAAUUGUUUGAUCACAUAUACUGGAGGGUUUACUGCUGAAAGAAGGUGAAUUGGCAUGCUCUCUAACACAUGUGCAAUUAAUACUUCUCUGUCAUCAAUUGAAAGUAACUUGCCCUUCCAUGCUGAUAACCUCUCUAGUACUUUGAAUAGAAUGUUCUUGUAGAACUCCUUCCUCCUUCUGAUAUAGAAAAUUGGACCUACUAAGUAAGUAAAUAUGAAGGAAUGUUUUUGGAAUUCAGUGAUCAAAUAUACAAUAUUCACUUCAUCUGUUGGUGCUCCUUCAUGCAUAUAAAAGGAAGAUUUCUCUUUGUUUAUUUUCUGGACAGAGGCUGCCUCAUAAUCUUCCAAAACAUUCAUGACAAGCUGGACUGCUCCAUAGUGAGAAGAACAGAAUAUGAUUGUGUCAUCUGCAUAGGAUAAGUAGGUGAUAUUAUGGAUCCACUUUGGCAUGCCAAAGCGUAUGAAAUAUGGAUUAUCAAAUAAUGUAUCCAAUGCUCUCCCAAGAACCUCUACUGCCAGAAUGAAUAAAGUAGGAGAUAAAGGAUCUCCUUGCUUGACACCCCUUGUAGAUUUGAAGAAUCCAUUGGCCUGCCCAUUCAAUAGUACUGAAUACCAAUUGUUGGAUACUAAUAUGAAUAUUAUGUCAAUGAAGAUCUCACCAAACCCCAUCUGCAUCAACACCUUUGUCAAGAACAACCAUGACACUCUAUCAUAAGCCUUUACCAUGUCUAAUUUGAUCACCACAUUAGCUGAUUUCCCUCUCAUCUUUAUAUCAGUUAUGAUCUCUUGUGUAAGUAAAAUAUGUUCCACUAUACUCCUGCCCUUAACAAAUCUAGCCUGAUUAGGAGAGAUUAGAGAAGGAAGAAAUUGUACUAACCUCUCAUGAAUUACUCUAGAGAUGAUCUUAUUGGAAAAAAAUUGCUCAAACUGAUUGGUCUUAUAUCUGAAAAUGUUGCCACAUUCUUAUUCUUUGGAAGCAUUACAAGGUUUGUAUGUGUGAUGAAUUUUGGUAAUUAUGCACCACAAAAGAAAGCUCUCACCAUAUGAAGCACAUCUUCCCCAAUAAUAUCCCAACUUGCCUGAUAAAAAUGCCCAGUGAAUCCAUCUGGACCACUGGCACUAUUUCUAUUUAGGUCAAAUACUGUUUCCUUCACCUCCUCCAUGGUUGGUUAUUGCAACAAUAAUUCAUUCUAUUCAAUAGACACCAACUUAGGGAUGUAUUGAAUGAUGUCAAAGUUGGUAGGCACCCUCUCUUCAGUGAAUUGAGCUUGGAAGAAUUCUACUGCCUCUCUUGCCAUAUCUUCUUGAGAUUCAAGCCCGAUUCCUAUUGUUAUCUAAGAUUCUGGAUAGUUGUAGUCUUUUCCUCUUUCCCCUCACAUGAACAUGAAAAAACUUAGUAUUCCUGUCACUAUCCUAAAACCAUUGCAUUCCAUCCUUUUGCCUCCAAAAUUCUUCUUCAAGAUGAUAGAACCUUGCGAGGCCAACUUCUACCUUGUGCAGUUUUUCCCUAUUCUGGACUAUUGGAUUCAACUCAAACUCAAUUUCAUGAACCUUUAUGAUAUCUUCCAAUGCUGCAAUUUGUUUGAAAAUGUCUCUAAAAGUUUCCUUACUCCAGGCUGCCAGAACUGACUUUACUUUCUUCAACAUACAUAUUGAAAGGAUUCCCCAUGAUAUCAGUUACCCAAUUCUCCUUUAUCACAUUCAAAAAGGCCUUAUUUUUAGCCCAAAAGUUGAGAAACUUGAAAGGCUUCUUCACUUGCACAGUGUCAAUAUUACAUGACAAUAGAAGGGGUGCAUGAUCAGAUCCAUAUUUUAUGAGAUGCUCAACUUCUAAUGAUGAGAACAAAUCAAGGAAUUCCUAAUUUGCAAAGAACCUAUCAAGCCUUUUGAAGAUGCAAUCUAUAUCCGACCUUCUAUUCCACCAAGUAUACAUACUCCCUUUGUAGCCAAGAUCAUACAAUGCACAUGCAUCAACACAGUGUGUAAAGUCUUCCACUUCACACAAAUACACUGGACGACCCCAUACUUCUCUUCCUCAGAUAGUAUCACAUUAAAAUCCCCUCCAACAAGACAAGGGGAUUCCAUGUCUGAAGCUAAAUGGUACAUUGAAUCCCAUAGCUCAAUUUUUCAAUCACAUCACAUUUAGCAUAUCCAAUAGUCACGUAAAUCUCCUUGUUCAAAUUCCUAUGAAACAACUUUAAAGUCAUUUGUUGUUCCAUGUUCAUCACAAUAUCUACAUCAAUAUCUUUAUCUACAAAAGCCCAGAUUUUUACAUUCAUAUUUGCAUAAGCAGAAUGUAUCCUUAACUUUUGUCUAUAUUCCUCCACUUUGCUAAUGUCUUGCCAAGGUUCCAUCAAACCUAUUAAAUAGAAGUUGUACUUUCUGUGUAGGUUAAGUAACCUAUUGAAAGCCAUUUGAUAUUAAUCGACCUCACAUUCCAUACUAGAGCAUUAUCCAUAAGAUUAGUUGGAAGUAGAGAUCAUACUCCUUUUUGGUUGCACCCUUAUAGGCACAAUGUCUUUGAUGUCCUUUUUGUGCCUCAUUGUAGGUUUUGUUGAUGAUUUCUUCCUAUCCACACUUCUGGGGGAUAAUUCACCAUCUCUUACUACUUUUUGGAAGUUAGCAGUAGUAGAUUCUUCUUCAAUAUCCUCCCCCAAAUCUUCCCCCUCUCCUUGUGCAUUGUCAACCUCCUAAAGUGCUAAAGGGUUUGGUUCAUGAUUCUUGGCUAUCAUUCCCAAUUCCCUUUUUCCCUUAUUGUUGAUCAGUGUGCCUUUGGCUAAGAUUUCACUAGUGACACUGAAAGUUUUCCCAGCUAUUAUGCCAGGAUCAUCAAUAUCAGCAGUAGCUAAUUGCAUAGGUUUAGGGACCAGGGAUCUGCUUGUUUGCUCACCUAUCAUCUUCUUCUGUUUCAGCUAUGGCACGUCUACUGCAUCACGUCCAGUUCCCCCUGGAUCAAUCGCAUCAUGUUCAUCUCCCUUAGGUUUUACUGUAGUAGCCCUAGGGUUUACUGUAGAUGUCUGAUUAGGAUUGGUAUUUUCCUGCUCAUUGACGUCACCUUCUUUAUUGGUUGCCUUAGCAUCUUUAUUGAUUUUAUUAGCACUGGUGUUGGACUUCAAUCCCUUACCAUUCACGCUUUGAUCCUCCUCCUCUACCUCCUCAUAUGUAGAACUUAUCUCACCUUGAGCACCCUCAGGUAUUUCCCCUUCCUUUGAAUCUUCCUCUGUUUGAUUAACCCAUAAUUUUCCACCACUCCACUGAACCUUCUCGUUUAUCUUUGGGAAUUUAGCUGUAUUAUUUGUGUCAAUAGUUUGAGAGGGAAUAUCUUGACACGAUUUAUUAGUAGUAGCUAGGUUACACCCAAAUGCUCUACUCACCCAUUGUGCCGUGGAUUCCUUAUGUAUAUUUUCAGCACUCUUACUCCUUUGUGCACUAGGAUUAAAUACAUGAGUAAUAUGAUUUAACUUCUUUGCCCUCUUAGGAGUAUGAUUUCCAGCCUUAGUAGGAGAAUCCUUAUCCACCUGAAUUACCUCCUGGACUUCAUCAACAACUGCCAACUGCUUGUUUUGCCCUUCCCCAAUGUCUUCACCUUCAAGUGCUGUAAAUUUGUUAGAUUUUUGUAGCUGCUUAUCACCAUUGCUAAUAAUUGGAACUAGUUCUUUCCCGAUUUUGGAUUAUUGUUAUCUAAUCUAGCACCUGUAACUACUCAAUUGUCUUUGACCUCUUUCCAUUGUUCCUUUGAAUUAUCAACCACCUUACCACUGGACAAAAUCAUCAAAGGACCUUGAAUUUUGCCUUUCCCUUCCACAAUGCCUCCUCUACCUUGUUUAUUAUCAGCCUUGUUUUCCACAAGUUCUAGAUGUAGUUUCCAACAUUCAAGUUCAUCAUGACCUUGAAGUUUACAUUCUUUGCAGUACUUCGGCAAAUAAUCAUAUUUUAUUGUCACCCAUUUAGUCCUUAUGUCUCUAGUCACCUCAUUCUCAAUAUCUAUACGUACCUUCUUUGGUAAUUAGCUAGAAGAUCCACCAACACUUUAACUCGUGCACAGCUAGGUCGAGUUUUAUUAAUGGUAGCCAUAUCUAAGUGAAAAGUCUUUCCCACAGCUGAUGCUAACGAUAAAAGACAUUCCUUAUCAAAGUAGGUAGGUAACAGAUUAGGGAAAGAUAUCCAAGCCAUAACUUUUGGAGUCUCUUACCCAGCUUUAAAUCUGGCAUUGUAAAUAAGAGUUCUCAAUUGAUAUUCAUAGCCAUCUUUACCUUUAACAUAGUAAACACUUUUGGACGUGAAACUAAUAUAAUCCUUCCAUAAUGUCAUUCUAAUUAAAACAUGUCUAUUAUGUAGAAACCCAAUGUUAUAUUCACCUUUAAUUCCACAUUGAGUAGGUAUGAUUCUACGUAAUUCUUGAAGCUCAGGCUAUCCAUAUGAGAACUUUCAUACUACUGCAUAUUGCAAACCUUCAAUCACGUUCAUGCACUCCACUUCUGCUUUAGUAAACUUCACUAAUGGCUGCCCAUGCAAGAAAGUAGCAUGCCUAAGGGGAAUUGGUUCAACAGUACGCGUAGAACUAGGGUUCGCCUGGACUGUUUUGUUGAUCGCGUCUGGUUUAAAAAUAUUGGAGUAAUCUAAAGGCUUGGGGAUGUUUGUAGUAGGGUUAGGAAUGGAGAGGAUGCUUGGGUGGGCUGACCAACCCCCGUAGGAGGCUGGUCAUCGGCCAGAUUGACCAUUAAAGGACUAUCGCUGGAAGUCACCAAGAGUCGCCGGAAAUCGCCAGAGAGAGAAGCUCUCAAGUGUAUUAGGUUUCUAGGAGUAGCAUGGAUUUUGAACUUUGUUUCUUGGAUGGUCCCGCCCAUAUUUACUGGCAAAAUAAUUUCCCAUUUGGUGGUUUCACUCGUCAUGUUGAAGUCGUUAAGUACUCGACCUGGGGGCACAAUUUGAUCUUGUAGGCCGCGUUGCUCUACGACCCUUGAUCGAAUAAUAUUGGUCGAGUCGCCUGGAUCAAUCAACACAAGUUUAACUUGAAUUUUAUUCAUAAGGAUAGAUAUUACCAGUGUAUCAUUGUGAGGUUGUUCAAUCCCUUCUGCAUCCUCAUCGUUGAAAGACAGGGUCUCUUCCGGUAAGUAGUCCUGAGUCUGUUUUUCUCGUGUGAUUGUCACCUUGGUGCGUUUGAAUACCGGUCCUUGGGGAAUAUUGACCCCUCCAACGAUCAUGUGAAUCACAUGUUGUGGCUCUUCUUGCUCGUUCUGUCUGUUUGAAUCUCUAUUUUUGAAGUGGUUCUUGGACCGAUCACUUAAGAAUUCUCGAAGGUGCCCCUCGUUGAACAACCGAGCUACUUCCUUGCUUAGUUGUCUGCAAUCUCCAGUUUUAUGGACAUGGGUGCCAUGAUACUUGCAUAUUUGGUUUGGGUUUCUUUGGGUCGGAUUGGUCUGCAGAGGUCGGGGCCACCUGGUAUAUUUGAUACGUCUAAUGGCCGAUACUAUGGCGGAAGCAUCUAUGAUGAAGUUAUAUUGUGACAGUCGAGGUGCUUAUUUGGACCCGUCAUCCCUAUCGAAACCAUUCCUGCUCAUGAGCCCUCGGGAGCUUUGUCUUCGAUCAUUCCUUCUAUCAUUCCGAACGGGGUUGUGUCCAGACCCGCUAUUUCUUCGAUCUCUCCCGUAUGGCUGAUAUCGAUCUCUGUUCAAUCGUCAUUCCCGAUCGACAUCCUUUUUAACUCUGUCCACGGGCCUAUUGGGAUAAAUCAAACCAAUUGGAGCCCCCAGUUGAUCGUCUUCGACCCUAAUCCUUGACUGAUAUCGAUUAUGUAUAUCGGACCAAGUGAUGGCCAGAUAUUCGAUCAAAUUCUGCUUUAUAUUGUGAAGUUAUGGAACUCCCUUCGUUCAGACCUUGAGUGAAAGCUUGAAUAGCCCAAUCAUUGGUGACCGAUGGCAAAUCCAUCCGUUCUAUUUGAAAUCGAGAUACAAAUUCCCUGAGUAUCUCGUUAUCUUUUUGCCUUACCUUGAAUAGGUUCGACUUUCUAUUAGCAACCUUAAUGGCUCCAGCGUGCACCUUCACAAAAGAAUCUGUAAGCAUAGCAAAUGAAUCAAUAGAAUUAGGUGGUAAAUUAUGGUACCAUAUCAUGGCACCCUUUGAUAGAGUUUCUCUGAAUUUCUUCAGCAACACAGAUUCAAUCUCGUCAUCUUCCAAGUCAUUUCCCUUAAUGGCACACGCAUAUGAGGUGACAUGUUCGUUUGGAUCUAUCGUCCCAUUAUACUUCAGAAUCUCAAGCAUACGGAACUUUUUUGGGAUUAGCUUCGGAGCUGCACUUGGGGGGAAAGGUUUUUGGACAAACUUUUUGGAAUCAAGUCCUUUUAAUACUGGUGGUGGCCCCAGGAUUUGGUCGACCUUGGAGUUAUAGGUUUCCACCUUCUUAUCAUUUUCCUCGAUCUUCUUUUCCCCUGUCUCGAUUCGCUUCGUCAGUUCCUCGAGCAUUUUUAUGGUAGCGGGAUUAGUAUACGAUUCUCCUUCAUUCGAUCUUUUUGGCACCGAUUCAACUCUAUGAACAACUUCUUGUGAUGGCUCGAGCUCGAUCCUGCUUGGUGCACGAUUCUUAUUUUGGAGUUGUGCUAUUACAGCUUGUUGAGUCUGCAACAUCUUGAAUAUCAUUCGAAGGCUAAUUCUGCCCCCUUCACCGCUCUGUGCGUUCUGAUCGGCUGUUCGAGCGUCUCUGCGGACGCUAUUCUCAGGGUCGAUGCCCGAAUUCCCAUUAAUGGCAAUAUGGGAGCUGACAUCGAUUGGAUCCACGACCGGAGCUCCAUCGGAGUUAACUGGAAGUACUCCAUUUCCCGGGAAGGCUAUGUUUUUGUUCUCGUCAUAAAGACCAAGGCUAUUGUCUGUGUGUGUGGAUGCUGCUUAGGAGUUUGACAUGUUGAUCCUGAAAUCAAAGACACUUCAAAGAACAAGCGUAAAAUAAUGUGUGUUACGAAAAUUGUAUCAGACAAUCACUAUUAUCCUUUGACCCAUGGUGAGCGCCAAACUGUUUACCCUUAAAAUGGGAUAAUGAUUAAACUUAUAAGUGGUUUUAAGGAUAUGUGAUUUCACUUGGCACAAACUGAUAAAUAUAAGAAUUAAUUCUAGGAAUUAACAAUAAAACAAAGCAAACCAGUAUGACGAACAAUUAUGGCCCUUGAGCUAAUUGCCCUCGAACCAACUAAACAAGCUAUUGAGAGUAUGAACUGGACAAUUGAGCUUGCAAGAGAUAAAAGUGUGAUAUAUUGCUAUGAUUAGGGGUGUUCAUAAAAAUCCGAAAACCCGAACCAAGCCGAAAACCAAACCAAACCGACCAAAAAACCGAUACUUUUUGGUUUGGUUUGGUUUUGGUUUUGAAAUUUAAAAACCGAUUAAAUUUGGUUUNNNNNNNNNNNNNNNNNNNNNNNNNNNNNNNNNNNNNNNNNNNNNNNNNNNNNNNNNNNNNNNNNNNNNNNNNNNNNNNNNNNNNNNNNNNNNNNNNNNNNNNNNNNNNNNNNNNNNNNNNNNNNNNNNNNNNNNNNNNNNNNNNNNNNNNNNNNNNNNNNNNNNNNNNNNNNNNNNNNNNNNNNNNNNNNNNNNNNNNNNNNNNNNNNNNNNNNNNNNNNNNNNNNNNNNNNNNNNNNNNNNNNNNNNNNNNNNNNNNNNNNNNNNNNNNNNNNNNNNNNNNNNNNNNNNNNNNNNNNNNNNNNNNNNNNNNNNNNNNNNNNNNNNNNNNNNNNNNNNNNNNNNNNNNNNNNNNNNNNNNNNNNNNNNNNNNNNNNNNNNNNNNNNNNNNNNNNNNNNNNNNNNNNNNNNNNNNNNNNNNNNNNNNNNNNNNNNNNNNNNNNNNNNNNNNNNNNNNNNNNNNNNNNNNNNNNNNNNNNNNNNNNNNNNNNNNNNNNNNNNNNNNNNNNNNNNNNNNNNNNNNNNNNNNNNNNNAAAUAUUAAUCGUUGGCACAUUUAGUACAGUUCUUUACCUUUACAUUCUAGUUUAAUUGGUAGUUUUCUUUUGUUAAAUGUAAGAAUCUAUUUCAUGUUAAAAAUAAUAUAUUUUUAAUUGAGUCCUUAAAUUAUUCAUCACUAUUUGAUUCAAUUAUCAUCAAUAUAUCUUGGUAAAUAAUAGAUUUCUCAAAGGGCAAUUGAUUUGAUAGUGUUACGUUGAAAAUGUGGUCGCCGAAAUGUGUGAUUGGUAGUGUAUGUUUUAUAUUUAAGAAAAAAUCGACAAAUAACCGAAAAAACCAAAAACCGACAAAAACCGAAUCGAGAAAAAACCGACUUAAUUGGUUUGGUUUGGUUCUAAUAUUUAAAAAACCGACUUACUUGGUUUGGUUUCCUUUUUGGGAAAAACCGAUCCAAACCGAACUAUGAACACCCCUAGCUAUGAUAUGCGUAAAGGUAAGAUGGUUACAAAAUGAUUAGAACCCUCUUUAUAUAGUAGAGGAAUCCUUUUUAUGGUACAAUUCUAAUUACAUAAGUAAAUCCCUUGAUAGGCUGAAUAUCCGAUCCUAACUCGAUACAUGCCGAGAUUUCCAUCACGAUCCUCGCCUAAUCACGAAUAUCUCGGAUUUCUAUUAUUCGGCGUAGUAGGCCUUCUUCGAUCUUGUUCGAUCUCUUUCUUGCUUUGGUCUAGGUCACGGCCGACCUCGAUCUUCAUUGGCCGUUGAUCCAUGAGCUUAUCAAUCUGUCUCCGUACCAUGAUCCGAUAUAAUUGGGGUCUGGCCUUGACCUUCCGUCCCGACCUCGGUUAGUCGCACAAAAUUAGGCAAGCCCGAUUUUGACCGUAUACAAUUUGCACUUUACAUUUCUACAACAACAAUAUACCCAACAUACUUUUACAUGUGCAGUUUAGAAAAAUAAUUUGUACGUAGACUUUAACCCUACCUUGUGCAUAUACAGUGCCGGCUCUAUGGUAAAGCAAGUAGGGCACUUGCUUUAGGCCCCCAAAUUUGAGGGGCCCCAUUUUUUAGUUAUAAUAAUUUAUAUAUUUUUUUAAAAAAAAUUUAGACUAGUUUUAAUUUUGGUAACAAUUGUAAAUAUUAUCAUAAUAAACAAAAAUCAAUAUACCUAAAGAACGCCUAGUUUCACAACCAUCUUCUAGGAAGAAUAUUGCAAUUCACUAGGCCUCUGACUGCAUCUAAUUACAAAUAAGUUUUAUAUAAAGAGAAAGAUAAUUUUAUUAAAUUUGUGAAUAAAUUAUCAACAUCAGAAUAAUUAUUAUGGGAGGUAUGAAUACUUUUAAAUUUUUACAUUCUCUUUCUUAUUUUUUCAAGUCACAAUAUCUCUUUCUCUUCUCUCACAAAAUUAUAUACUUUCUAUUUUAUUUCUUUCUCCGAGAGUAUAAAAGUUCAACAGCUCAAAAGUUUUUGUGGUAAAAAUUUAAGAUCAUUAGAUGACGAGAACUUAAAAAAAUAUUGUCUUAACCUUGAAUGUUCCUUAAAAUAUAAUAGUCACUAUGAUAUUGAUGGUUUAAACUUAUUUUUUAAAUUAAAAAUAUUAAAGAAAAUAGUACAAGUAGAAAAUAAUACUCCAAUCAAUACAUUCAAUAAAAUAUAAAAGACUUGAUUCUUUGUCAAAUGCUUUUUUUAAUAAAAUAGUAUUAACAUUUCAUGUAAUAGUUGCCUCAAUAGAAAUAAUUUUUUUAAAAUUAAAAAAUAAAAUCUUACCUAGGAUCAAUAAUUUUCAAGAAGGAUUAAAUGAAUUGACUAUAUUGUCAUUUGAAAAAAAAUUAUCUGAAGAAAUCGAUAAUAAAAAAAAUAUUUACAACUUUAUAUCUCAAAAAGUUAGAACAAUAAUUUAUUUUAAAAAAUAUUUUACUUUUUAAAUUUAAGGCCUCCAAAUAAAUUUUGUCUUUAGGCGACUAAAAAUACUCGUCCCUGUGCAUAUAAAGAAGCUGUUUUCGAAAGAUCAUCGACGCACUUUGCAUCUCUAAUCUUUUAUAAACUUCAUUGCAUUUAUUUGAAUUUCUCAUAGUGACUCCUUUUACAGCGUGGCCAACUGAUUUAAUUCCUUUUUGGAACUCCGAAAGUGAUUUAACUUAUAAACAUUAUAAUAAAAUAUAAAUUACUUUAACAUUGUCUGUUUAAUUUUAUCAGUUAUAACCAAUUAUUUAUCAUAGUUAAAAAAUUACUCCACCAAUUUAUGCCUAAUACAGAUAGUUACUUGUAAUUAUUAUUUGAGUAUUGAUAGUACAUAUCUGGAGUUUAAAGAAAAUGACACCCGCAAGAAAGAAGAAACAAGGAAAAAUCCAAGGCAAAGGCCUGGCUGGACGUUGCCCUGUGUGAUUUUCAAAGACAGCUGAUACCGGUUUGAAAAGCCACCGAGUGGGUCCCGGUAAAACUAAGAACAGGACCCACAAAGGCGGAUCCUCUCGCGGACUCUCCUGACUAAUCUCUCUCUCUCUCUCUCUCUCCUAUGAACCAGAAAGGAAAUCUCAGACAAGUUGCAAGUAUUUUUCUUAAUUACAAUUCAAAAUCAGAGCAGAACCAUAAAUCCGCUUCGCUUUCUAAAAAAAUUAGUUGCUUCUUGCUGUUACAGAGUGUAGAUUCUUCGUGAACAUAGUUAAUCGCACUUUGCUUGGUUUGCUUUCUUCACUCCCAUGCUUCGCUUUCUGUUCAACUUAAGAUCAGCAUUCCACACGGAUAAUUAAGCGAUUUCUGUUGAAUUCGGUCAACUCCAGUCAAAGGAGGAGGUUUGGUAAGCUGAUAGCCAACUUAAAUAUCGACAAAUGCCAAUUUUAUUAAUAUUAUUUCUUUGGAAUUAAGGGCUACAACUUUCAUUAUGAGGAAUUGCCUCAUGUUUGAUCAAGGUAUUGCAUUUUGUUGCGCCACUACCCUUAUGUAGAAAUUUGCUGGUUGCAAAAUCUUCAUGUCUUCAAUUUGACUUUUGUUGUUUUUUCUACAGCAUUCAAUGCCUUUAACCUCAAAUUCAUUUGUAACUUCCAGUUAUUUUUCUAUAUUUAUUUCAUGUGUUAUUGGUUUCCUCUUUAACUACUUAUCUACCUCUCAUGAAAAGGAUAAGUUAGACUUUACAGUUCUAGUGUAUGUCCUAAUUUUAAAAACUUUUGUGACAAAGCUUUAUGCAUCUUAAAGAAUCUUCUAACUUCGUUGAAAACAUUUGUUUGCUAAUCUGUUUUAAAAGGAAUUGCUUUUUUUUUGGGUUGUUUGGUGGUACCUGUAGUUAUCUGACAGGCUAGCAUACUAAUGUUUUCAGGGAAUGGUAUUUAGCUCUUUGUGGAGCUACUCGAGACAGUUCUCAUCAAGAAACUUGUUGCCACUAGAAUGAUUCUGGAAGUCAAUCCCCCACGUUGAGCAGGUUGAUGCAUUGGCUAAAGUUAUGAAUCACCGCCAAGACGAGUUUGUGAGGUCAGUUUUCUGAGAACUUGUGCAAUCCCCUUUUCCUCUCAAUCCACUAAAUGCUUUUUCCAGGUUAAACCUUCUAGUAGUUUCUUUCUGAAUGUAAAUAACACAAAUGAACAGAUUUUAUAGAUUUAUAAGUGGAAAAUAGACUAAUUCUAGACCUGGAGGGAAACAAUAGAAAGCCUACAUAGCCUUACCUAUUUGAAAUUGGAUGAGAACAGAAAAUUAAGAGGGAAGUCCAAGCACAUUUAUGUUUGGUUACUUAAAUGGGUAUUGAAAAAGCUUAACGAAGUAAAUUUUAGCAUGGACUAUUCUCUUUUUUUCGUUUUGUAUAUGUAUAGAUGUUAUAUAACUGCACCAAUUUGCUGACAUGUUUUUUGCCAACUUGUAUUUCUAAUACUUGAAUUAAUUGCCUUGCAGGUUUCAGGAUUGGAAAUCAGAGAGAAGCUCUGAGGGAAAUUUUCAUGCUAAAGGUGGAGUCCACCGAAGUAAAGUUGUAAUAGCUUCCGACGAAUUACAUAAUCGCUUGGAAUCUGGUAAAUGGAGGGCCAAAGGCAUAAUACAAGCUGUAAAAUCUAGUUUAAGUGGUUUUGUGGAAGAAAGCUUGGGAUCCAAAAAGAACAUUCUUGAUCCUCAAGGACCUUUUCUUCGAAAGUGGAACAAAAUAUUUGUAUUAUCCUGUGUAAUUGCUAUCUCCUUGGAUCCUUUGUUCCUUUAUAUUCCAGUGAUUGAUAACGACAACAAAUGCCUGGGGUUAAACAGAACGUUGGAGGUGACAGCUAGUGUUUUGCGUUCUUUUACUGAUAUAUUUUACUUUCUUCAUAUUGCCCUUCAAUUUCGAACUGGUUUUAUUGCUCCUUCGUCACGUGUAUUUGGAAGAGGUGUUUUAAUUGAAGAUGCUUGGGAGAUAGCAAAGAGAUACUUAUCCACUUACUUCUUGAUCGACAUUCUUGCAGUUCUACCACUACCACAGGUGCAUGUUACUUCCCUUCAAAACAUUACUUUGGCUUUCUAUUGAAGAGAGACUCAUGGUUGGUACAUUUUGUGAAAAGAUUAUUCUGGUUCAAGCAGGCAAUGUAUCGUAUCUCAUGGAGAUCAUAGAUUUACAUGAUGUGGAGCAUUUUUGCACUCCAUGUAUUAUAUUGCAUGUUAGCUUUUACCUACUUCCUAUGUAAAUAGAAAUUUAUGUUCAGUUGUUUACUCUUAUCCUUUUAUGUAUUUUCAGGUUGUAAUUUUAAUUAUAAUUCCUAAGUUGCGGGGUUCAAGAUCUUUGAAUACCAAGAAUUUGCUGAAGUCUGUUGUCUUUUUCCAAUAUAUUCCAAGGGUCCUUCGAGUGUAUCCUUUAUAUAGGGAAGUCACAAGAACAUCUGGCAUACUCACUGAAACAGCAUGGGCUGGAGCUGCUUUCAAUCUCUUCCUUUAUAUGCUUGCCAGCCAUGUAAGCUUGCAAUAACCUUGAGUUACAAUUCUGAUGGAUAGUAUACUAUCUACUCUGUUGUUCAAAUUUGUGUUACCCAAAGUUACCUAUGGUUGAUUCUAUCUAAAAGGUGUCCUUUAAAAUUUUGUUAUUUUGACUAAUUGGAACCUUAGAACUAAAAGUUAUGGAUUUUCAGCCAUCUUAGGUUUUCCUGGCAUAUAAACUUAUGAUAUGCCAGCAGAUAUCAGUAGUAUUAUGAAAUAGUUAUAUCAUUCUCUAUUAUAUUUUCUUUUAGCGGUGACAUCAUUCUCUAUUCUAUACUAUCUUGUACUCAUUAAACUGAGAAUUGAGUGGCUUUGUGCUCUUUAGGUACUUGGAGCCUUUUGGUAUCUGUUUUCUAUAGAACGCGAAACUACUUGCUGGAAACAAGCUUGUGGAAAUUCUUCUCCCUGUCAUCAUGCCUCAUUGUAUUGUGAUGAUGAUCAUACAAAAUUUAAAACAUUGCUGAACAGUUCCUGCCCUAUAGAGACACCAAAUGCAACGCUAUUUGAUUUUGGGAUAUUCCUUGGCGCUCUCCAAUCAGGUGUUGUGGGACCAAUGGAUUUUCCGCAGAAGUUCUUUUAUUGUUUCUGGUGGGGUUUACAAAAUUUAAGGUACGCCUGCACUAUGUGCCUCUUAUGCAUAUUAAAAAACAAGUUGGUUAGAUCUUUAUACCCAAGUGUUUUUCUGUUUAACCACAUUUGCAUGUACUGUGUAGUGAUUACCAGAGGCGGAUCUAGGAUUUGGAGGUUCCGGGUGCCACACUAAUUUUAAUGUACACGUGUUGUAUUUACAUGGUCCAAAUAGGAUAUUUAUUGGGUCAGUUUGAUCUAUUUUUUAUUUCGGGUCAGUUAUUAGUCUUAUCGGGUUUAUAUAUGGACAAACCAAUCAAACGAAAAAAUAAUUACAUUGAAGUUGUUCUCCUAGAAAAAAAAAA
This 44430-nucleotide long non-coding RNA is filed under the name Nicotiana tabacum (common tobacco). RNAcentral's name for it is "long non-coding RNA (NTAB_LNC013565)". The record is from RNAcentral. Lineage: Eukaryota; Viridiplantae; Streptophyta; Magnoliopsida; Solanales; Solanaceae.